AUCCGGAGUCGUCCUCCGCCCUUUGGGCAGUCAUCGUUAUAAUACUUCAUGGUUACCUUCUCAGGGGUAAUGGGAGACAAUAAGGGGUGCAGGAAAGCAUUAUUAGUUCUGAUGACUUGCGAUUAUUUGUCACAAAAAUCCCAAGUGAGGACUUGCUUCAGGGACCUCAGUAGAGAGACAGUUGUGACACAUUGAACCCUGGCUGGAAGCUAAUGGCUGUGAUAGUGGAAAGGGAAACAGGAGAGACUGGCGGGAUCUCUGUGGAGGAAGGGGAAGCUCAGGAGAAGAAAGCAAAGAAAGGCGGCCAGGAACUGGCCUCUCACCACAUGGAGCCAUGUGUGUGGGCGGUCACUGUGGCAGUUAGAGGGAGAAGCAUCCCCCACAGUUUCAGGAGGUUCAUACUUAGCCCCAGUUAGCAGGCAUGUUUGGGAAGGUUCUGGAACCUUUAUGAGAGGAAGCCUUGCUAGAGGAAGUACGUCACAGGGGCGGGCUUUGAGGGUCUACAGCUUUUCCCCACUUCCUGUCCUUGCCCUCAGCUUCCUGUGCGUGGAUGAAAAGGUGAUCAUGAAGCUCAUCUUUGUCUUUGAUGUGGACUCUGUUCCCCUUGAACUGUAAGCCAAAAUAAACGCAACAGGAAAUUAGCUAAUAAGGACACUCUACUCUUGUUUCCUCUCAGCCUCUGUUCUCUGGCCUCCUCAGGUGCUGGCUUCACCUCCAUCCUCUGAGAAUGGUUGGCCCAAAGAGAGGAAAGGAUUAGAGUAGACAUUCUGGAUUGUACUGUUUGAUCUAGAGAUUAACAUAAUUCUGACCAAACGCCAACAAGCUUCCAAGUUCAUAAGGAAAUACAGCAAACUUCAAAUAGCCUAAACAAGGAGAAAAAGAAAAAUCACAGGCGGGUGACUAACUGCCACUGAUUCUGGCAUUUAAUACAAAGCUUCAGUAGUCAAGGAUGGAGUGGUGCUGGAUUUAGGAGGGACAGAUGCAUAGGGCAUGAUGGAGUGUCCAAAAGGAGAUAGCAUUUAUGGCCAGAUUCUUAAUUUUUAAGAUAAAAGUGCAAAGUGAAUUCAGUGGGUAAAGAAUGUUCAUUUGAGCAAAUGAUGCUGAAAAAUAUUGUAGUUCUGUAUGUACAAUAUGAGUUCAACUCCACACUGUAUAUCAUAUGAAGACAAUGAUAUCAGUAUCAUAUGAGAGGAUGUCUAGACCUAACCUAAAGCCUGUAGCAUCGAUACUUCUGUAAGAGAACAGGACUGCUCUGUUGUGACCUGGGAUCAGACCAGAAUCUAAUAAGAGAUUCCUGACAUUGUAAACCAUUAGGGAAGUACAAAUUAAACCCACAAAGAGGUACCCAUACAUAUAUAUAUGUACUAGAAUUGUUAAAAUCAAUGACUGACUAUCCCAAGUGUUGUCAAGGUUGUGGGUCAUAGAGUUCAUGCUGUGAGUAGAAAAUAGGCCAACUACUGUAGAAAACAACUGGGCAGUUUCUUAAAACUUCAUACGCCAAAUGGUCAAGGCAUUCCACUUCUAGGAUUUACAGGUGAGAAAAAAGCCUGGUGUGUGUGUGUGUGUGUGUGUGUGUGUGUGUGUGUGUGUGUGUGUGUGUAUUUGAACACACAUGCUCACAUGGGCUUUAAAUCUGUCCAUCCUUCCAUCUGUCCAUCCAUCCAUCCGUUUAUUUAUUUAUUGAUGUAUUUGUUUUGUGUGUGUGUGUGUGUGUGUGUGUGUGUGUGUACAUGUUCACUACAGUACACAUGUGGAGGUUAGAGGGCACUCUAUAGGAGUCAGUUCUCUCUUUUCACCGUGUAGAUGAAAGCUGAGUUCCUCAGGCAAGGCCGUGAGUGAAUGCCUUUCCCUGAGGCAUCUUCCUGGUCUGAACUUCAUUUUUAUAGUCAAAAUUACAAAUAGCCCAAACAUGUUUCAAUAGCAGGUCAAUAAACAGAAAUAUGUACAGAUAACAACUAGCUCUUAUCAAUGAACAGAAAUGACCUAUUGAUACAUGAUGCAGCAUGGGUAUGUCUCAAGGAUAAUUAUUUUGAAUAAAGGGAAUAUAGCCCUCUCCAUCAGUAAAUACUCAGGGCAAGGUAAUUCCUAAAAACAUUAAUAUUAAAGCAGGUUCCUUCCAGGAGCAGCAAUGGCUGGUAUAAAGACGUGUGUGACUGAAGAGAUGAGCUUUUUUUUUUUAAAAUGGGAAAUGUUUAAGAUGAAUCAUGUCUUUUACAUGUGGAUAUCUUGAUUGUGGAAGUGACUUAUUGGGCACAGGUGAAAUCAGCUUAUUAAUUCUAUAUUUUGUGAGCUGUCAUGUGGGAGCUGGGAACUGACCCCGCUGGGCUAUCUCUCCAGUUCCAUAAGUUCUGUGUUUUAAGUUUUAAUUGUUUCUUGUAUGUCAAUAAUGCUUUGUAAAAUUAAAAAAUAAUAAAAAAGCAAGUUUAGUUCACAAAUGGGAUGACUCUUACUGGUUUAAAAUGUGAUUUUCUUAUGAAUGUGUGUGGUUUGGUAACAUUUUCAGUUUAAGCAGCCAGUUUCCAGAGCAUUAGUGAUGUGUAAGGUUUGGUUUUUACUCUAAAUGUUACGUGUAGACUUAAAACACCGAGGAAGAUAGAGAAGAUCCCCGUUUGUGGGCAGUGCUGUGAAACAAAUGAGACAGAACGUUGAGUCAGACUUGCUCUGUACUGUUAAGGUGCAGAGUCAUGCUGUGCUUUGCGCUGGGAAAACUAUUCCCCAAGUCCGUUCAUCUUCAUGUAUGUAUUAAAUGCCUACUUUGGGUUUCAUAUUUGAAGGUGCCCAAAGAAAGAAUGGCAUUCAAGUUCAUAUUCGGUCACACAGAUGAGAUGUCUGAGCCAUCAUGAAGUUAGAUCAAGAAGAGGCAGACUUUAUCCAACAUCUGCAACACAACGAUUGACAUUUCUUCCUGUAAUAUGUAACUUUUUAAGCUUUAGUUGUGAGGUACAGGUCUCUUCUGGGGAGAAAAAGGGCUUUUUCUUUCAGUUUACUAAUUAUAUGCAAAGGCUUGGAGGGGGAUUCACUUCUGUGUCCAUCCUUCUUUUGAGUCUCUUGGCCUAAGACCUGAUUUGGAGGUUGGUAAACAUCAUUUCUGGCCCAGUACCCCACACUUGGAAUUGCAGCACAGCCUCUGGGUGUAGGAAUAUCACACUUUCCGACAAGUUAUUCCUCUGUGUGUAGACUUUCCUUACGUGAAAGGGACUCUUCACGCGUGUAGGAACUGAAAGUUGUUUCUGGAGAAAGAUCUGCUUUUCCCGCUGCUCCCGUUCCUGGUGUCUCACGGCAAUGGCUUUACAGGGUCUGUCUUUAACAUGCUUCCUUUCUUCCCACCGUUUGUCCCCCUGCAGGCUCUGCUUAACCAGGGCCAGCCAAGGUCUUGAGCAGCUGUGCCUGUGGCUCCCAGUCUGCCUGGUGGUGGGUGUGUCUGUAUUUAUAGCUUGUCAUCCCUCAGCCAUCCUUGGUUGCAUUGUGUGGCCGCUAAGCACAUUCUUGGAUUGCAGGCUUCUGUGUGUGUGUGUGUGUGUGUGUGUGUGUGUGUGUGUGUGUGUGUGUGUGUGUCUGGCCAUCCACACAUGCAUGCAGGCAUGCAUGAUGCCGAGAUUAUGCCUUGCCUUUUAUGUCUCCAGCCCCAUUUAUGAAGCCAUUCCUUUGUUCUUAUGUGUGUUCCUCUAUCUUCCCAUGGGACCCGGGAUCUUGCCCAUGCUAGGCACUUACUUUACCACUGAGCAACACCAAGUCCCACCCUCAGCCAGGUCCACUCAUCUGUCAUUUUCUUGUGUUCUCUUCUCUUUAUCAUACCUGCUCUGAGAGAGGAAAAAAGUUACCAGCCCCAAUAAAUUCGAAUUUAACUUAAUUUCUCCACGAAUGUGUGUCUCUUACCCUUAGUUUCUUGAGCAGUGCGGAAAAAGCUUUUCUGCCUUGAUGGGUUUCAGGCACUGCGAAGAAUCUUUCAAAAAAAAAUACAACGUGGUGCUCUGAGAUUAUACUGUGGGGCAGUGAGUUACUCUGCCCUCGUGGUCCCCUGUGGAACUUUUAGGGCUCCCUGGGACACAGUUUAAAAACCAAUGACAUGCUUUUGGCUCCCUGGGGAACGUAGACAUCUGACCUCGAUGCGGAAGUAUGCAGUUAUAGCAGAAGUUCUCAACCUGUGGGUCACAACCCCCUGUCAUGGUUGAAAGAACCUUUCACAGGGGUUGCCUACAACCAUCAGAAAACUCAGAUAUUUUCUUUACAAUUCAUACCCACAGCAAACUUUACUGUUAUAAAGUAACAACAAAAUAAUUUUAUUGUCGGUCGUCAAUGCAACACGAGGAACUGUAUCAAGAGGGUCCCAACAUUACGAAGGCUGAGAACCGCUGACUUACAGGAUGGAGAACCAGUGGCAAUUGGCUUUGCUGACUGUCCACCAUGUUUAACUUGCAGUGCGGGUGGUGGGUGCCUCUUUGGCUGCUGUAUUCUCCUCUAUUAAUAGUCUCUGCUUAAAUCUCCACCCAUCAAAAUAAACCUCAUCCACCCGACUGUACGUCACCGCUGUCCUGACAAGCUGAUCCUACAAUUCAUGAUGUAAAUCGGGACACUGGGGGAGUCAAAGAGCCACUGAAGGGAAAACAGGCCCAGACUGGGACUGUUCUCGGCAAAUGAGGGCAUCCGUAGCUAUUUCUGACUCCUUCUCUGCCGUUUCUAUUCAUUGUUCCCUUGUGCUGAAUUGGUUCGAACCUCUGCACAUCUCAUUGUUCCUGGUAUUCGAGUGCAAGUAAAUUGUCAAUGCCAGUGUUCUCUUAAAGUCUGAAUUCCUAGAAAGCAGAUGCACUCUCCUGUUUGUCUUUUCCGGAGCAUUUGGCAUACAGUGCUGCACGCGGAGUAAACACUGAUGGGGGCGGAAAAGAGAGAAGUCAGCAGGGAGCCAACACUGAUACAUCCUGGUAAAUACCUUACAGAAUCGAAGGCCACCACCCCAUCAAGCAUCUAGUAACUGUCUCCUUUUUACAAGGUCCUGGGCAUGGGACUAGGCAUCUAGACCUCUUGGUUUCUUCUCUUCAAAGAUGAGGAGAUUUGAGCUGAAGAGAUGUCGUACAAGCAUGAGCUCUCUAGCACCCACAUAAAAAAACCAGCUGUGGCGGCCUGUGCCUGUAACACCACCAUCACUGGGAAAAUGCUGACGGAAGGAUCCCAGGGACUUAGAGUCCUGAUAACCUAGCUGAUUGGUAAGUUCUAGGUUCAGUGAGACUCUCCUAAAGCCGAAAAUGCUUGAGGAAAACACCCGGUGUGUUGAUAAUCUGGCCUCCAAACACACUUGUUGUACACAUGUGGCCAUGCACCCCCUGGGCAGGCUAACUUAGAGAAGAAAGAAUUUAUUUGUGCUGAUGGUUCCAGAGAUUUAGAGACGGCAGAGUGGAGGCAGCAGGCAUGAAUCUUUAAACUUUCAAAGCCCACCCCUAGCGUCAUACUUCGUCCAGCAGAGCCACACUUCCUAAACACACCUAAACAGCGCCACCAACUGGAGACCGAAUUUUCCAAUGCCUGAGACUGUGGGGGACAUCCUCAUUCAAAGCAGAGACUAAUGGGGAGCGUUCUGUUUAUGCUGAGUACUUUCUAGGGAUGCUGUAAGGCCACGGGAAGUGACGUGAGCAGAGGCACUUUGGGAGAUUCUUCGUGGCAGCUCCUCUGCAGGUAUGAGGCGACAGCGUCAUUUAUGUGCGUGUUUCUGGAAACAGCAGCACUUGGCUGCUCAGGGGCCGUCUUAGCUGAUGGAUUUGGAGUUCAGAUUUUAAGUCUCUUCCCCUACAUUCCAAAUUUGGCUUAAGUAAAUGUGGUUGAGCUAAGGUUUGAGAGUAACCAGGACAUACACUAUUUGAGCAAGUCAAUUGGUUUCUCUGAGUGUUUCCCUUUUCUGCUGAGUGAAGCGACUCCUGUAAUCUAUCCCAGGGCGGGGGGAGCCACACCUGUCGUCCAUCCCAGGACAUGGAGUGGGGCUCAAGUCGAGUGCAUAUGAGAAACCUUUCUGAAAUAAGCAAAUGUGGUCAUGAAGCUAGGGACUACCUCAGAAUGCUUUUCUCUUUGUUCUGUGACCUCAUGUUUGGUAUCUUAUUAUCCACCCCUUUACUCUUUUGACUGUAUAUGGUUACACGUUUUUCUGCAUAUAAGUCCUAUUAUUUGUUAGGAGAUAUUUCAACAGAUAUUCCAAGAAAAUUUUCUGGGUAUGCUAAUGCUUAAAUUUCUGAUAUAUUUGUUUAUUGUCCUAUCUUCACAAAAAAAUAGCUACUCCAACUUAAUUUGUUCCAUGUGCAUAAGUUCUGAGGCAAGAUAAUGCUCUCCGUCUACCCCUUGAGGAUAGCAGCAUGCACACCCAGACAUCCAAAUCUACCGGGGCAUAACUGGCAUGAAGGGCCUUAGACAUGUUAUAUUUUAGCAAAACGCUGCUGUGUCCUGAAAUCCCAGCUCUAGGCAUGGUGCCUAGCUUCCUGUAGAUGCCUGGAGCAAGGUCAGUGAAGACCUCCAGAGCAGCGGUCAGCAGAAGCAAGUGGUGAGUGAUGGCGCCGUUGAUGGGGCCAAGAGUGACUCACGGUCGGGUUCAUUCCAUCUUUAAGAACCGUCCUAAUACAGCUUGGCUGUUGCCUUUCAAUGAGGGUAAUACCAUCUCAGAGGUUACCCGAAUUUUCACUCUUUUCCCAGCAGUUGUAUUGUCAGCAGCAAUGAGAUGUGUCCCGUACAUCUGUCCUUGAGAAAUUCAAAGGAAAUUGCUUCCUUGCCAGAGGAGCACAGGAGGAGCCCCGAUACAGGAUUGUCUACACUCAGGAUCCGUCCCAAGGCUGUUUCUAUCUGACCCAUAAAUAAUCCAUUCAUUCUUCCUCCGUCUCGGUUUCACGUGGCCAACAUGCAGUUCCUGUCAAAAGGGCCCUGGGAGUGCUGCUCCAGAGCUCGGAGGACGCCCUGCAUUACAGAAUUCGCCAGCCUGAGUUGUAGCGAAGAUGCCAGUCUCUUCUCUGUAAACAAGAUUUAUUUUAGGGCAUCUCUAAAGCUUUUUGUUUUCUUCUACACUGUGUCAAGAGAACACCCCUUGGGGACAGUGAAUUAUGCCCUGGCACAUUCCUCCUGAGCACAUGUUUAUAUUUCAGAGUGAAAGAGCCCCCUUAGCUUGCUAAGAAUUUAUAUAGCAAAGGUCGAAAUUCCUCAAGUCCCUUGUAAAGUCAUUAUGGUUGAUAUGACCUCUGGGAUCACGCACAUCUUGAAGUAGCUUGUGUGCUUCUUGAUCAGGGUGGAGCUCUGUGCAGGACUAAUUGCUGCUGGGCACGUGUGCUUCUGUUUUAGCUUCUAAAGCUAAAAACACUGCUGUCCUGUAUAAUCCAUCGAUAGCCUUCAAAGAUGUCAUUUUCCUUACAUGUUAGAGGUGUUUUCUGUUAUUUGUGACCUUAAUUAGCCAUUGGGAGAGUUGAGCUUUUGCUUUUUUAUUUAAGUUUUAAACUAACAUGUUAUGUUGCCUAGUGUGUGUAUGUGUGGAGGUCAGCGACUGGUGUCUGAUGUCUUUACUCGGUUGCUCUCCACCUCAUUUUUGGUUGAUACAGAAGGAUCUUUCAGUGAACCCAGUGCUCACCAGUUGGCCAGACUGACUGGUCAGCGAGGAUUGUCUACACUUCUCUAUCCCUAAGCCCCACGUUAGGGUUACAGACAUGUGCAAUUGUGCCCAGAGUUUUACUGUAGAUUCCAGGGAUCCAAACUCAGGUCCCCACACUUGCAUGGCAGGCAAUUUAUGACCAAGUUGUCCUUCUCACUCCUGGGCUUUUUGUCAUUUGGUUGGUUUUUAAAUUUUUUUCAUUUACUUAUUUGAUUAUUUAAUACUGAAAGAUUUAAGCAUUCUAGCACAUUUCUUUUUGGAAUGUAUUCAUAACUUUAACACAUUUUAAGUCAAAGACACUAAAUUUCCUACUGUUUUGUUGACCAAGCCGUUAUUAUCUGAGCGCAGCAGAAUGCCAAACUGCCAUCAGCAGAAUGGCUAUUGAUUUCGUAGUAUUGGGCAUCUGUUACGGAACAAUGUUAUUGGCUAAAUUCUGGGUGUGACAGUUGGUGCUGACUGUCAACUUGACAAGGUCUAGAAUCACACAGGAGACAAAGACAUCCUUGAGAGGUUAUUUAGCCUAAGUUAACCUCUGCGCAUGCCCAGGAGGGAUUGUUUGAUUGGGUGACUCAGGCGGCACCAUUUCCUGGGCUGUCUACACAGGAGGAAGCUAGCUGGCUACCGGGAGAGCCUUCAUCACCCUCUUCUUCCUGAAUAAGGACACAAUGUAUGACCAGCUACCUCAGCUCUUGUCACACUUACUAACCUACCAUGAGGGAAUGCACCUUUAAACUUGCUGUCAAUGGGAAUAACACGGGCACCAUAAGUCAGGUUGAGCAGCAGCCUCUCAAGUACAAAAGAAGGGGCUAGAAGACUCUGAGGAUGAGAAGCAAGCAGACCGAAGGGCAGUGUCAAGUCCUCCAGAAGGAAAGAACUUGGCGUUUUGAAGAACAGCAGAAAAUCCAGUCUGGGUGGACCCAAGUCAGGAAGAAAGUGCAUGGUUUCAGAUACAGAGAGAAUUAAGUAGAGGCCAGGACACCCAGGUACUCCAAACACUACCACAGGGAUGCAGAAGACCUGACUGAGGUGGCUUCAUAGAAGUGGAAGGAAGAGAUCAAAUCUUUGGUUGUUUGUUGAGCCAAGCGAUUUCCAAGUGUGCGUCCAGAGAGGAGACAACACCAAACAACUCUUGGGCGCCUACUGAGGACAAUGCAAGUGUCUUUCAUGACACUUGGGGUUAUUGAUUUUGAGAGACCAGUAAGAUGUUUAAGUAUGCUAGUGAGAGGACAGUUGUGUGUGCACAUAGGUGACGGGGACAGUUUGAGGUCAUCAUUUAAACUUCUUUACAUUGCUGUGUGUAAUUGCUUAUGGCCCUGAGAGGAGAGCAUUAGGCCAGAGUCCGAGGGGCUCAGAAGUUGGUACUUGGUAUGAGGGUCCUGUAGGAGUCUGAGGAGGAACAGCCAAAGGAGAAGGGAAAAUCAAGAAUAACAGCCUCUCUGUGCUUAGGGGAGAGUGUUGCAACGAGGGCUGGCUUCACAUAAUCCAUGCUUCUGGUGCUCUGAGGCAUAGAAGUGUCCACUAGGGUAGAGACUCCGAGUUUCUACAAGUGCCAUGGUAACCUGAGCAAAACCAGGUUCAUCAAGCAGUGAGGAAAGAAACUAGAUUCAGACAGCUGGGGGGGUGGUGGUGGUGGUCCAUGAGUGGAAGCAGACAUUUUCUCCUCUUAGCUAUGUGUCUGUGAAGGAUGGGAGAGAGAAAAUAGGAAAUAAAGAGGAGAGAACAUGGAGGGAGUUGCCUUCAUGCUGUUGGGAAGACAAGAACUGAAAGAAUAGGUGGAACCUCAGAGAACACUCAAGGGCAAGGGAAGGGAAGGGAAGGGAAGGGAAGGGAAGGGAAAGGAAGGGAAGGGAAGGGUCUCGAGUCCUAUGGAAGGACUCGCUUCUGUAGGACACAGAAACCAUAUUUUUGCUGUUUGUUUUGUACCAAGGAGGUGAUGUCAGGAGAGACGUUGGUGUAGAUAGGUUUGCCCAUGAGCCAUCUUGACAAAGUUGAGGAAAUGUCCAUCAGGGAAUGGGGAGUCUACUUAGAAAAAAAAUAUGGUAACUUUAUGAUUGAAUUUGCUAUUUGUCUGUGUCUUGCUUUAAACAAUAGAACAUGUCAAUACCAGUUGAGGCAAAUUCUCCACUCUCUCAGCAACCCUGAGAUGCUAGCACUGCCCUGCUAAAGAUGUUCCAUGAAGUCAGACUACAGAAAACCCUGGAGAGGGAUUACUUUUGAGAGACAAAAAGACAGGGGCUAGGGUGAGAAAAGAAGGAGGGGAAUUAUUUGGGUUGUGAGGCACGGGACUGUGGUCAGUUGUGGGGUAGCUUGUGGGCAGCGUCUGCUCACCGAAGCAACAGAGUGGCAUUUGUUAGGUAACUAGAAAUGGCAGAUGGGACCCACCCUGAUGGAUUUGUUCUUGGUAUUCUCCUGGAGUGUAUAGUAGGAGAGAACACGAUGGAGCUGUUGCUGGGACGGCAUGAGGAACUGGGUAUGAGGGAGGCUCUGUCAUUCCUCGUGCCUCUACCUGGCUCUCGGCUCAGCCACCAUGAGGUAAACCCAAGAUUCCCAGUUUAUUCUUACAAAGUUUUUUUCUCUUGGCGGAUCACCUUGCUGUCCUUUUUUCAUAUCUGAUUUUGAAACUACUUGACAUUCUUGUCACUUUCCCCAUGUGUACUCCAGCUUGCCAAUGACCUUCUUAAAUGCGGUACCCACAACUGAGCCCAUCAAUUCUUGGAGUGGUCCUGGCAGCGGAGAACAGAAAACCACCAUUAUGGUCUUUUUUGUGUGUGUUUUAUGUUUUUGCUUUAGGCAUUUUUCUUUGUAAAUGGAACUUCAGAUUGCUCUAGUUUUAGGGGGAAACUGUAAUGCUGUUGACUCAUAUUUAGCUUGAAGGCAACUAAAACACCAAUGUCUUUUUUUCUUUUUAGACACAAUAGCUGUUAGGUCAAAUCUUACAAUUUUUUGAACAUAGAAUGGAGAAUUAAAUUGAAUCUGAUAGACUUCAGCUCAGUCUCCUAAACUCUUGCAGUAUUUAUUUUUUUUUCUUGUGGUCUAGCACUUUGGUUUCCUGUCAUUAACAGGUAUCAUAAUUGUCUUUAUCGCCAUCAUCUAUUUCACUAUUAAAAAACCAAACAACCAAACUAUCAGUGGCAUGCCCAUGGAAGCCCUGUUUAGACUGACACAAAGUUUAAAAAUCCUCUUCAGUAGUAACUUUCAGUAUUUGCAUUCAUGGUAUCUCUCCUUUUAGUAAAAGAUUCACAUGGAGAGAUAAUCUGAAAUUUAAAAAGAGCCAGUUAGGCACCCCGUGAACUGCUAAAAUGUCUACAUGAUGAUCUCUGUGCUGGUUAACGUAAGAAUCUCCCUCUCCCAGAAUCUUCCCCAAUUGGAUAACCAAUAUCCAAUAGAUCUUGGUGGAAUUGCCUAGAAGGGCAAGCCUCCAGGCACACCUGUGAGGGAUUCUCUGCAUGACCAUAGCUGAAGUUGGAGGCUCCUUCUUAACCAAGGCUGGCACAGUUUCCUGGGCUAGAGUCACAGAAUGAGCGAGAAGGAGACAGUCAGCAGGGCAUGGGCAUUGAAGAUGCUUUGCUCCCAGACUAAGAAUGCAAUGUGAGCUCUUUCAACCAUGAUUUCCCCACUGUAAAAUACUGUAUCCUUGUAAGCCAAAAGUGAACGAUUUUUUCAUUGGGUUCCUUUUGUCAGGGCAUUUUGUCACAGUGGUGGAGAAAGGAACUAAUGUAGACUGUGCUGUCUCCCCCAGCUACAGUUCCUGUGUAACCUGUUCCUGGGGCAGCUCUUGGAAUCUCCCAGUUACAUAGCUAUCUUUUCACUGGGUGCUCUUCUGAAAUGUUCGGUCUUCAUUGAGUAGCUCAGUGGAAACUCUAAUCUCUCUCGGCUGAGGGCCAACAACAGAGUGUGGUGUGUUGUAACACUGCUGUCCAGGAGCGUCGAAGGACGAUGGCAGCACUAAUUGAUCUCCAUGGCGGUCUUUGCGUCUAUAAACAGAAUAGGUUUUAGGACCAACUAAACCUGGUCUGCAUCCCUCCUUCACCAAAGACCAUGCUCUCCGGGACUUGAUUCCACAGUAACAGGAGAAGGUACUGUCUUCUCCCAUCCUUGACUCUCACGUCACUAAAUAAGGAAGCGCAAUUGUAGAUGAGCUGCACGUGCGCCCUCUGUCAAAGUUAAUUGAAAGAUAAGCAUCUUCCUCCAGGUGGUUAGCAAAUCAGGUGAAGCCAGCGGCUAAUUACUCUCCAAAAGAAAGUAGAAAUAAGGCCCUCUGUGACGUCUUCAGCAAUUAGAUAAACAAUAUCAAAUAAACUACGUUCUUCAUGAUCCUUAAAGGAAGCAAUAGAUAGGUAAUUCAGUCCCAGAUCACGAGAAGAUUGAGCCUUUUGAAAAAAAGUAACAAAAGGAGCAGUUUUACUUCUCUUUGGGUUAUUUCAGGCGGAAGUCUGUGCUUGUAACUGCUCUGCCCCUUUGCUGUUUUAGCGUGUCUAAGUCGAUGUGCUUCUAUUGUCUAUUAAGUCAAAUUCCGUUUUGAAAGUAAGCAGAAAGUGAAUAAUGACAUAUUGAGUAGCCUUCCAUAAAAAUGAAUUUGUAGAUUUGGAAGUCUUCAAGAUGAAUCUUUGUAUACAGUAUGGCAAAAAGACCUCGGAAUUGUGUAUGCAAACACUUUUUUUUUUCUUUUGCCAAAAGCAAUGCUUGUUUCUGCAGAUUUUGGUUUUUAUUUCUUUUCUUAUUUGGCGUGCAAUACUGCCUGUUGAGUGUUCAAAGGACAGAAGCCUUUAGUCUCUGUCCUUUACAGUACACAGGCAGAGGCAGCGAGAACUGUCAGCGCUGGGACUGGGAGUACCUUUUCAAUGAAUAUGGAGGGAAUGGAUGAUGUUGAGACAUUUGUCAGAGAGAAAAGUUUAAAUACAUGCAUAUUAUCCUAUGUCACAGAAACCUUUAUUAUGAUGGAUUCUUUCUGAACAGCAUACUAUGCAGAUGUUUUAUUCAUGAAUUAUUCUGCAGAAACUCUGUGGGUUCCUAUUUCACUUCCCCUCAGCUGAAUAUGCUAUGAUUUCAUUUUUUUUUUGUUAAAUAGAUCCUUAUAUAGACAACAUUAUUUCUGAGACGUUGAUACGUGCUGUAGGCCUAGAACACAGCUGUUUGUAAAAUAUAAUGAUUGUUGGCGGCAGUUAAAUUCCCACGAGUCGGUACAUAGAUAUCAAAAGCAUUCAUUGACAGUGCAAGAAAAUGCUGUCUUUGACACGUACAGCAAUACCAUGGUCCUGUUAUAGCCCUGAUUUCCUGUGGUGGUAGGGCUGGUGGGACAGUCAUUGGAAAUAAAGGACACUUGAUUGGCAACAGUCAUGAGGGACAGGGGACGGGAGGGAGCAAAUUUAUCUUUGUAACGAUCUUCUAAGCAGAGUGCAUUAAAAGUGAUUAUGUAUAAAAUGGUGGCUCCCAAUGCCGCAUUAGUCCGUCAUUCUUCCUCUUCCAUUCGCCCCGCUUUUCGCAGCAGAUGGACCCUGUUGGCAUUGUUGUCUGUCAGAUAGUAAAUGCAAUGGAACACUAAAAUUUAUGGAAGGGAUUUCACAUUUUUAAGUGCAAAGAUUUGCAGUUGUAGAUUAUUGAAAAUUAUGUUGCGAUGCUGGUAGCACACUUGAGGUACCACAUUUGUGAAUAAAUCCUGGAGUCUUUCAGUUUCCCUGAUUUAAAGUCGUUGCUCUGAACAUUGGCAGAAGCUGUACUUCAUUGCUGAAGUGCACGUCUACGUAAGUAUCUAUGUACGUAUGUGUAUGAGUGUGAAUGUAUAUGUAUGCAUACGUGCAUUAUGUGUGUGUAAAUAUAUGUGCAUGAAUAUGUGUAUAUAUGUAUGUGUAUAAGUACAUGUGUGUAUAAGUAUAUGUACAUGUAUGUAUGUAUAUGUAUGUGUAUUUGUGUAUAUAUGUUUAAGUACAUGUGUGUAUGUAACAUGUGAUUGUGUGUAUGUAUAUAUGUGUAUGUGUAAGUAUAUGUGCAAAUAAAUAUGUGUAUAUAAGUAUAUGUGUAUAUUUAUGUGUGUAUACAUGUGAGAUGUAUGUGUAUGUAUAUGUGCAUGUAUAUGUGUAUAUGUCUGUGCAUUUGUGUAAGGGAAAGCAUCCUGAUGAUCUAACCAAGGCAUCUUUGCUCCCUCCCACUCACUCAUUCACUCUUCCUUGAUUGUUGUUUUGUGUGUAUGUGUGUGCGCGUGCGCACAUGUGCACAUGUAUAACUAUGUAUUCCUAAAUAUAAAUAUAACCAUCUUAGUUUAUGUAAGGUUACAUGUAUGGAUGUCUUCGGGCUGGCCAUUUGGUAUGACUCUUCCUGUGUCUAUAGUUUCCUACUGUAGACGUCAGAGGAAGCUGGAAGGGAGCAGUGCCUGGUUGACCUCGAUUUCAGUUAUGAAGUCUCAAAGGCUCUCUGCAUGUGCACUUGUUCUGCAAGCCAAGGAGGGUAAUCAUCUUUGAGAAGUGCCAUGUGGGAAAUGGAAAAAGAGCUGCACCCGUGCAUACAUAACAGUCCUUUCUGUUAUCUCUGAUCGGGCCAAAUUAUGCACUGUGUUUCCUCCUCCAUGGACUGUUCUCUUCUGCUUGAGUUUGUUCAGUAAGCAACUCUGAAAACCAAUCAGAAAGCUCCAAUGGAUGCAGGCGGCCAUAGUGGUUCCUGUAUGUCAGUGUCAACUCUGCGGCAGCUCUGGGAAAUUGAGCUGGGAUUUUGGUGGUCUUUUAGUUUUACAUUUCCCCUGCUAUUUAUUUUAUUAUUUUAUUUUUCUUUUCUUUUAUGUUGAGAUUAUAGUGAUAGCAUUUCUUCUUUCUCUUCCUCACUCUGAAGUACUCCAUAUGCUCCUUGCUCUCUUUCCAAUUCAUGGUCUCUUUUCCUUGAUUAUUGUUGUGUGUGUGUGUGUGUGUGUGUGUGUGUGUGUGUGUGUGUGUGUUUGUGUGUUGUGUGUGUGUGUUCGUAUAUAAAUGUGCAUUCCUAAAUAUAAAUAUAAACAGCUCGGUUUAUGUAAGGUUACAUGUAUCAAUGUCUUCAGGGUGGCCAUUUGGUAUUGGGUUCUCAAUUGGUUCGCUCUUCUCUUGGGAACGCUACCUCUCCUGAUCCCAGCUUUCCUUAGUUGCCUGUCAUGUAGGAUUGAUUCCUUGGUGUUUUCCCCGGUCCAUGUUAUUAUAUCGAUUGCUGCCAUUCUUGUUCAGCUCAUGGUUGGGCAGCCAUGUUGGUGAGACUAUAUGGGUGGAGUUCUGACAUUACUAGAAGACAGAAUCUUACAGGAAAUUCCCUGACCCUCUGACUUUUACAAUCUUUCCACUCCCUCUUCCACAAUGUCCUGUGAGCUUUAGACGUAUUCUUAAAUUGCCUCUUUCUAGUAAUUUCCCCACAUAUCUUUACCUUUAGUGUGUUAGGCUCUUAGAAAAUUGACCAUUUUCUCCAUUAAUAUGCAUUUAAAAUGUUGACAAUGUGUUUGGUCAUUCCUUUGGGUCACUGUGACCAUUCCUGAUGUAAGUAAGAAGAAGGAAGGAUGGAAUUUGUCUCGUGGUCCGUGCCUGCCUGACACACGUGCUUUGGCAGAAGGUCAUGCUGGUGGCAUGCAGCCUGGCUUCUUUACUGUGUGGAGAGGAGAGGAGAGGGCAGGAAUAGGGACCAGACACAACCUUCACUGGAAUGCGCCUUUAACCUACUUAGCUAGUCAGAGAUUACUUCCCAAAGUUUCAAAAACAUCCUCCAAGUUGAUCCCCAGAAGUCUUGGAGGGACAUUUAAUAUGUCAAUUGUAGCGCUGCCUGAUCCUUGGCACUUGCAAGCUGAGGAAUGGGCAUAAAGCCUGAAUGAAAGGCACGGGCGACGGAACUUCACCGUAGCCAUCUUUCAACGGGCAGGAUUCGAUGCCCCCUUUCUUUCCUUUGUUCUGAUAGAGUCUUCCUUGAUGCAUUCUAAGUCUAUUGUCUUUAUGUUUGGUUUGGUUUUAUUUGAGCACUCCUUGCUGCCGGAAAAUGCUAAAUACACUUUACUAAUAACGUGUGAGUACAGGCAGCCUCAUCUUUUUCUCUGACAGUGCGUCAGCUAGGCUGAGUCACAGCAUCUCUCUCAGGAAGACAGUGAGGAGCGUCCAUCUGUGUGAGAUGCUCUGAGCAGUGCCAUGGGUGGAAGGCCACACACUGCAGCUGAAUUCCUCCCUUGUCCCUUCUCCUCCGGGAGUCUCGGCUUCAUUUUCAAUUAUCAAAAUAUUUUCAUGCAAACAGUACUUUUCUCAUUAGACUUUAGUGAAGAUUAAAGAACUUAGGUGAGGUAGGUGCUUUUCAUGGUGUAUGGCCAAGGACGAACCAUCAGAAGAUGUGUUCCGUGAGAUUGUCUUGGUAGCCUCAUGGUCUUUAUGUUUCUGAACCUCGUUGAGGUGCUUGUCUUGAGUCAACGUUCUGCCUGUGUCUAAAGGUGUUAACACCUCUUUAUUCCAAAUUUAGAUUAUGCAGAGUUGCAGCUGAAGGCAUAGAAAAUUAGUUUCUGAAAUGUUUUACCUUGUUUUCUGUGUACACAUUCCCAAAAAGGAGAGACUGGCAAGUUGCUAUGGAAACUUUCUUUAUGAUGUGAAGACUACUCCCAUCUUUCAUUUAGAAUAACAGUCUUUCUAAAGAAGUCAAAGCUCAUCCUUUCAUGUCUCCUGUCCCCAGCAAGGACAUAGGCUCGUAGCUUGUUUAUUUAUGUUUAGUGGAGCAGGGUCAGUUUGCAGCCUUUAAUGCAGAUCUUUAAUGCAUUGACAGGAAGGUAGGGUUUUUUCCCACUGCUUUUGCUUCUUUGAUAAUGAAUUGGAUGCCUUUCUGUUAUGCAGACAUUUCUGAUCUUUGUCUGUGGUUGUUUUGUAACAUUUCAGCUUGAUUUUAGGUAGUUAAAAAAGAUUUAUUUAAUGCAUCUGAGCAUGCAUGAGGAUGUUGGAUCCUCUGCAACUGGAUUUACAGAUGGCUGUGGAUCACAAUAAGGCGCUGGGACCCAAACCUAGGUCCUCUGCAAGAGCAACGAUGGUCUUAGCUGCUGAGCUGAGCCCUAGGCCUCAGGUUUUAGGUGAAGCAUUAGCAGAUUAGUCAUGCACUCCAUAGUCAUUUAUUCUUCUCAAAACCAAAUCUCAUUCCCCAAAUCUGUUAUUCCUAUAUUUUCCUCUUCCAGCUUAUAAGACUGAUUUGCAGGAAAAUGGAUGCAGCUGGGGGCAACCAUACCAAGUGAGUUAAAACUCUGUCAGAAGAACACAUAUGGUGUCUUUCCUCUCAUUUGUGGGUCCUAGAUUUUGCAUAAAAUCAUAUAAGUCCAGGUGAUGUCAAAGCACAAGGGGAAACCGCCUGGGGGAGGAGGGGCUAACUCAAGGGGGGAGGGGUGAGAAAGGAGAGAGCAGAGGCUUAUAGGAGGGAAUAUUGUCAAGUAAAAUGGCCUAAGCAAUCAAGUAAUAAUGAAAUGAAAUUAAUUAAUCCAUUAAUUAGAUGCGGUAAUUUACAGUCAGUUUUGCUGUCUGGGAUGUUCACUGUUUGGCAGUCCGGGAGGGUUUCAUUAUUUCUCUUCCUUCAUCCCUUGCAUCCUGGGUAAGGAGGAACUGGUUUCACUUCUGCAUAUUGCUAUGGUUCUCCUCACCCUGACCCGGCAUUGGCAUUUGGUUUUUGUUAUGAUAAACCUUUAUCUCCUUCAUUAGGUACCUUCUAAGCUGGAUCUCUGUAAGGUCCGAGAAGGAUGGUUCUACUGGCUGAACACUUUCUUAAUUUAAUUAACUGCUGUCCAGGCGGUUCUCCUGAUUAGGAUCUUUGAAUCUUUUUGCCUACCAAGUGCUACGAGAGUCUAUGAAAACUGGGGUCUGUUCAGCAAGGCUAAGGAAGAAUCUUUAACAUGUUACGCAAUUAAAGUGCAGCCAGUAACUGGUGGUGGCUUUCAGUUGAUUAAAGUGAUUUUUAUGCAGUGCUGCACUCUCUGGUAGGCUGAAGGGGACUACCGGAAGGGAUGGAGAAUUAAGUACUGUAAUUUCAGCCUGUUACAGCAUUUAGGUAAAGGGACUCCACACACAAGUGUAAGUGAAUUUAACAACCACCAUUACUAUUUGGCAGUGCUGGGAUUGAUCCUGGGAUUUUGCUUGUGCUCGGUAAACUAGAUGCCCCUGAGCCACAGUGUCAGCCAAAUUAAGGACCAUGAGCUAAGGACGAGUACUCCACAUUGUUCCAUGAGCCUGAUGUGCCCUUAAAAGCAUCCUUACAAGAGGGACUCGGAGAAAGAUGACACGCAGUGGAGCAAAGAUGACGGGGAGGUUAGAAGCACUCACUGUUAAGCCCAGACGCCAGAGCAGCUCCUAGGAGCAAGAAGCAGCAGCAAAGAGGAGGUCCUGACUAGGGUCCUUCCAGACCCUGCAGGCUGAAUUCUAAAGCCCUAAGGCUCUGGGAGAGUGCGUUUCUGAUUUUAAGACUACCACAUUUAUGGUAAUCUGUUACGUACCAUCAGGAAAACUUUUUUCCUCACUCUGUGCUAGCACUUUUAAAAAUAAAGGAGGAAGGCUGGGGAGAGCUCAGCAGGGAAAGCAUCUACCUCUAAAGAUCUGUAACACCAGAACCCUCUUUAAACACUGAGCAGGGCGGUGGGGCUGAGCAGCAGGUGGGGGCUGGGAGAAUGGAAAGGCAAAUCAUUCAGGAUAAUUGGCUAAUGAAUUGAUGAACUUAAAAAAUAAGUGGUGGGGCUGGAGGGACGGCUCAGCAGGUUAGAGUACUGGCUGUUCUUUCAGUGGACCUUGGUUCAAUUCCCAGCACUGACGUUGGCAGCUCAUAACUACCUGUAACUCCAGCCCCAGGAGAUAUGGCACACAUUUCUUUUGGCACCUGUGGGGCUCCAGAUGUGCACCAGAUGCACAGACACACAUGCAGACGAAACACCCCCACACAUAAAACGUUCAAAAACAAUAAAAGGUGAGAGCUUCUUGAGGGAAGAAAGCUAACAUUUACCUCCCCACCUCCUCUUGGGUGUGUGUACCUAACAAUUUCACAUUGCACUUCAGCCUCUCCAUGCAUGUACACGCAUGAGUGUGCAUCUAGUAAGUGCACACACACACACACACACACAGUUGGGGUGGGGGGGAGCAAGAGAAAGCUAAAAUGAUUGUCGUCAAUGUAGUUGUCAUUGAUUAUAGAAUUAACAACACAGACUUGCCUGCUGCAGAAGUUAGUUGCCUGAGAUAAGCACUAACGGAGGCAUGACGCACCUAUCUUUUAUUAGUCAUGUUUUGAUUCUUGAAAGGUGAACCUGAUUAAGCAAAUGGAUGAAGGGGUUGGGUAGGAGAGCAGCCCUUGCAAGUAGAGCAGACACAGAUGACGGGAUUGGGGAUGACUGAAAGGUGGGCUUACGCUUAGAUUCUCUCUGUGUAAGUCGCACCCAUGUGGGCUCUUGCAGACCACCCCGGCCAUUUCUUCCCAGGGUAUGGUGUGCACAGGGACCUGACAUCUGCUGUGUCUCUGUCGGGAGAGAUCUGGGCACGGGUGGGCGGGGGAAGGCAAAGUGACGUUUCGAUUUCUUCCUUGAAUUCUUUCUUGAUGGCAUAAAGCCAGCUGUGCCCUAAUUUAAUCCUCCCCAGGGUAAGGAGGUUUUUCCCUUAGGAAAAAAAAAAUCUCUGAAAUCAAAUAUCAGAAGAGAAGCAAAAGUCAUACAAGAAAACUAAUAAAAGAAAGGAGAGAGUCUCAGUUCCUGGUAAGGUCCCUGGGAUAUGGUUGGUUGCCUUGAGAAAUGGGGAAUGGAGAUUCCAUCCACAUCCCUCUAGCCCGAAUCAUGAGCCCAUUCAUCUUGUGUGGCUUUUGUAACGGAAGAGCAUAGUUGGUUCUGUUUCUCUGAGCAAGCUGGAGAAUUUUGAUUUACCUUUGUGGGAUGAAUUGCUUUGUGGAAAAGUCCAGCAAUCCCCUCCGAUUAGCACCUAGCAUGAUGGCCUUCGUAGGCGGGAGGCACAGCAGGGCUCUCCACUCCAGAGAGUUCCGGCUACCUCCCCCGCCCCCACCCCCCACUGGUAAUUUGCGGCUAUGUCUCCUCUGUCUUCUUUAAUAUUUAGGUCAGUGAAUUUCAACGUGAAGAUUUGUUGAUUUAAGUGGCUUUGCUUCGGGUAGACUCCGUUUUUGACAGAUUGUACAAUUCACAGACGCUACGUUUUGAGCAGGGGAGAAGUAGUUGUGUUACAAUUCCUUUGAAUGAAGAGAAUUGACUGCAUCUAUCAUGGCUCUAAUAACAGCGAACGCGCUACAUGCGCUCCCACUGAGUUGGAAUCUAAUGCUGUUCAUUUGCUUCUUUCAGUGUUCUGAGGCUCACACGAUUCUCUUGAUUUAUCACUUGGUGUAUGAGCUUUCCUCGGGAUAUUUUUUCUUUUUCAUGUGUAUAUAAAUACAGUGCUGGGUUGGGGUCAGCUUUACUUUACAAGUGGGCAAACAUAUUCAUCUGUCCAGGUUUGACAGUGGCUAGGGCUGAUAGUGGGACGUUAGACCUGGUAGGUAUGAUAUGCUUGAUUGUCUCAGGAUAUCUCUACAGAUGGGAAUGUAGGCCAGGCUAGCUUCAAACUCCCUGUGUAAGGAAGGAUGAUCUUAUAUUAAGAUUUAUUCUUACUGGAGUGCAUGUGUGUGCAUGCCACAUGUGUGGGGGUACCUCUACAGGGCUCAGAAGAAGGCAACAGUUCCCUCAGAAGUAUUGUUUUUCUCCAUCUUUAUUAACUUGGGUAUUUCUCUAUUUACAUUUCAAUUAUUAUUCCCUUUCCUGGUUUCCAGACCAACAUCCCCCUAAGCCCUCCCCCUUCCCUAUGGGUGUUCCCCUCCACCUCCUCCCCCCAUUACCGCCCUCCCCCCAACAAUCAUGUUCACUGGGGGUUCAGUCUUGGCAGGACCAAGGGCUUCCCCUUCCAUUGGUGCUCUUACUAGGAUAUUCAUUGCUACCUAUGAGGUUGGAGCCCAGGGUCAGUCCAUGUAUAGUCUUUAGGUAGUGGCUUAGUCCCUGGAAGCUCUGGUUGCUUGGCAUUGUUGUACAUAUGGGGUCUCGAGCCCCUUCAAGCUCUUCCAGUUCUUUCUCUGAUUCCUUCAACGGGGGUCCUAUUCUCAGUUCAGUGGUUUGCUGCUGGCAUUCGCCUCUGUAUUUGCUGUAUUCUGGCUGUGUCUCUCAGGAGCGAUCUACAUCCGGCUCUCUUUCAGGCCUUUCUAAGCAACCCAACGUGUGUGCUGGGAUCAGAACGUGGGUCCUGGUAAAGGGGAAGCACUCUUGCCUGCUGAGCUACCUCUCUAGUAGAGGAUGGUAUUGAACAUCUAUCCCUCUUGCUUCCACUUCUCAGACACUGGGAUUGAGAGUGUACAUCACACACCCGGGUUACAUGAUGCUGGGGAUCCAGCUUAGGGCUUCUGCACGCUUGGCGAUCACUCAACCAAGUGAAGCCAGCGUCCUGUAUUUCACCUGGCAUCUCUGCCAUAAAGAGUAGAAGUCAGACUUCCCAUAGUCCUGGACCCACAGUCACUACACACUGAUGCCAGGUUGCCUGAGCCUGUGCAUCUGUAAAAUGCUUCCUGGCUAAUCUUACUUCCUUCUCUCUCCACUUCCUUAUCCCACCUCUCUUCUACUGGACUUUUUGCAGUGACUUCUCAUUACCUCUACAUUUUACUCAGCUCAGCUCUUUGCCUUCAAAAAAACCAAUUCUUCACUAGUGCUUCCCACAUAAAUUAUUCUGAGAGCUUGAGAACUAUCUGCAUUCUCUUCCGCAGGCUCCAGGAGUGGACAGGACUGGGACAUCAAUAUGCAUGAACAGUCACCAGAAAGGAGGUGACAAUAAAUACAAGGCCAUGUCUCUUGCGAGACUCACAGGCCAGCAGCGGAAAGUCUGCAUAACUGUAAUCUUUUGUAGCCUUUUAAUUUAUGUUCCAAUUAAUUCCCUACACUGGACAAUCAGACUAUUACCUGAAAUCACUCUCUGCUCCGUCUCUGGAGCUCCUGACCAUGGCAUACUCGCAUUCUAGAACCUGAGGCGGAACAGCUGCCGAGACACAGCGUGCAUGUGUUUUCUAAAGAACCCCAACUACAGCACAUAGUCUUAUCUGCACCCCACUAUAUUCCCUUUCCUAAUGUUCUUAAGUGGGUCCUUUCUUCUUGAGACUUUUAUACAAGUGUACAGUAUGUUUUGAUCAAAACCAACGCCCCAGUUCUGAUCCCCAGCCUCUACCCUUCAGUCCCUACCAUCUCUACUUUUCUAUCGACUCCCUCCCCAACGACAUCCCCCUCAUUAUUAUAUGUAUUUUACUAUUGAAAACCAGACUUCAGUUGUUGCAGCCAGUAUCUACCUGGGUAUAGAGCCAUCUCCUCGAGCAUAGGGGCUGUAUCCCACCUGGGGCUGUAUCCAUGAAGAAAAUGUCCCUCCCUAACAACCUUUAACAAUCAAUAGCUCCUCAGCACAGGGUGGGGUUUCCUGAGCCCUUCUCCAACCAGCGUCAGUUGGAAUUUUAACUGACCAGGUCUUAUGUAGGUCUACGCAUUAAGCUAAGGCCUGUAUGAACUCAUGCAUAUGCAAUGGACCUUUCAUUUUCUGAAAAUAUUAUUUUAAAGCAUUUCUACCAACCUCUGGCUCUGAUAAUCUUUCUUCCUCCCCCUCCAUGAUAAUCCCUCAGUUUUGGGGAGAGGGGUGAUGUGGAGAUUUCAUUAAAAGGGGUGAACAUUUCAAGUUAUAUCUUUCCUUUGCUUCUUGGUAGCUUGGUGAGAAUCUUCAUUGAAUAAACAAACCAAAAGUUUGAAACCGGUUAUAUGGAGAAGCAGUAUCAAGUACUGGCUACAAGCCACUUGGGUCCCUCCCGGCCAUACCUCUAUCCCCUGGUCACAUGCCCUUGGGGAAGACAUAUAACUUCUUUUCUGGAAAUGCCUUUGAAAAUUGAGCAAGGGAAUCCAAAAUUUGGAUUUUUGACAGAUGAACUAUUAUCCUCUUAUCCUCAUUACUGAUGUUGUUCGUAGCAUUUAGGAGGUGUGGCGUGCACAGGUGGACAAGAUCUGCACUGUUUUGGGUCUGUUUUCUUCUCCUGUUCUAAGUGUUAUGAAGAGGGACCCCAAUGUGAUACAGACUGUGGUGGUGUGAACCGGGGACCCUUUGGGUGGGUCUCAGCAAACAGUUCCUUGAUGAUCAGAAGCCCGAAAUGAGAGUCAUGGAAAGGGGUCAUAGCUUAAGAAAAUGAAAUAGCCACACCUCUUGGUAAAACUGAAUUGCAGCGUGUUUUGAUGUCUGGGGACUUGACCCAGCAAAGAGGGACAUGCUUAUGCUAGACAGAGGAGCUAACGUGAUCAGCAGGGACUCUGACAUGAAGGAGCUAACCUUUAUUAGAAUGCGACACCUUUCAUUUCUAAGGAAGGAAGGCGAUACCACCAGGCUAGUGGCAAUGGGCUCUGAGCGCACUGUCUUAUUUUUUUCUUUGAAGAAUAAGGUAAUGUCUAUCAAGAUUAGGAAGGGGGAUGGCUGGGGGCUGGGGGAUGCUAGCUUGAACGUUUGUAGAGGGAAAUGACUGUGUGAAAUUAGCUUGUCAGGGCUCAGCAGUGGGAUCCCAGGCAAUCAGUAGUGCCUAUUUGGGAUUUGCAGUCAUGAAUUGAGAAUGAGACCAGCCAACCAAGUUUCAUGUCUAAAAUAGCAGUUUCCCUGGAAAGGUACACUGGUGGUUUAUUUCCUGAGGCAUAUAUGUAACUGAAAUAUACUCUAACUUUCAAGGCAGAAAUUCCAAGUUGCCUCUGUAUUUACCUAGUUAAGAAUUCUUGGGCCGGUUGUGGUGGCGCACACCGGUAGCAUUUGCUGAAGAAUUCUUGGGCUGGAGAGAUGGAUCAGCAGUUAAGAGCACUGACUGCUCUUCCAGAGGUCCUGAGUUCAAUUCCCAGCAACCACAUGGUGGCUUACAACCAUCUGUGAUGGGAUCUGAUGCCUUCUUCUGGUGUGUCUGAAGACAGCUACAGUGUACAUAAAAUAAAUAAGUAAAUCUUAAAAAAAAAAGAAUUCUUAUUAAGCUGUCUGUGCUGGUGUAGACCUGUAAAUGUGUGUGAUCUGAGCUCUUGGGAAGCUCAGGCAGGAUCAUGAAUGUCUCAAAAAGCCAAAACAAACCAUCCUUCCCACUGAUUAACAGUAACCCCCAAGCCCCAAAACAAAUUAUUCCAAGUAAAGUCUUUACUCUUUAGCCUUUUCAGCAGAACCAUCCAGAGGAAUCCAAAGGUUCUAUAUACCUCCAGCACAGAAGGCAGUGGCUACUUAGGUUUUUGAUCUCUUGAACUGUAGCUAGUGCCUCAUUGCUUAGUGCCUCUGAGAAACUGAAAGCUUCCUUUGACUCACUUUUCUUUGUUUAAAGGACGCAUGUGGCUGAUAGCUAUGGCUUUGUACACCACAGUUGUAGUCACUGCCUCGCUGCCGUGUGGCAUUUGUGACAGCAGAGAAGAAUCCAAACCUAACUCUUUUGUUUUUAGAAAUAUGAAAUUUACAAAUUGGGGAAAUGGCUUUGGCAUUUGGUUUUUAAACAGACUUGUUCACCGCUUGGCAGUCUCCAGACUUUUCUCAGGUUUUGGGAGGUUUCUACUAGUAUAGCUCUCUUUUGGAAAUUCCGUGAGUGACAAAAGCAAGCAUUGAGAAGCCAUGCCAUGGAUUUGUAGCUCCAUCCGGGAGACCCCCAAUUGCAUGGUCUUUGGAAAAUACCUACAUAUCUUGCAGAAAUAUUUACUCUGAGGUUACAGUGUGAGGUGCAUGGCUACCGUUCUUUCCCUCCUGUGCUUGAUUUAUUUGCCUCAGAUUCUUCUGUGCGGAUGGCUGUUAAUCUAGGCACGACCACCCAUCAGUAUCCCAACAACAAACAGGCUUGUUCAGGCUUAGCCUUGUCGGGUUUUUCUUUCUGCUCAGGAGAGCACCUUUUCACAUUGGUUCUUCAUCCUUACUUUGUCUCUGUGGUGAAACAAUGUUUCAUGUUGGUCUGUCUGCUGGAGUUCCCUUUCUCUCCCGCCUUGGCAUUUUACUGUAUAGGCUCUUUCUCUUCUGGGUCCUCUCUUUUGGUGGACACAAUAUGGUCCUUAAUCUUGGCAGUUGCAGCAAAGAUCCAGAUGUCGCAAUAGCUCAUGGCCUGUUAUCAAACAAUUCAAGGAGAGGAUUGGUUUUGAACUCUAGGGAAAUGUCUCUCUGUGCUCCAGCUUUGCUUGAGAAUUCAUUUUUGAAAUUCUUCUCUAUGGGCAGUUCCCUAGGUUCAGUGCUGAAUGUUAAGAGGUCAUUGUUUUCUGUGACUGUUGUUCUGUCCAGGGAUUUCCAGGUGCCUCAUCUUAGGCCUUCUGUGUGAAGUGGGGAAGCAUUGUCACAGUUCCUUAGAUGUGACAGGCUAGUGCUACACCCACCUUCCUCCUGCCACAGGAGACAUCAGUGGAUCCUGCUGGUGAGGUAGGAAAGCUUUAUCUCAGGUUUGGAAUGGGAUGUCAGGGUUUGGGAGGCAAGAGACUCUUGUGGGUAAAGUUUCUCUUCUGUUCUUAAAUGCUGUCAGUAAAAUGGAGACAAUGUGUGGGGCUGUUAUUUGGUGAAAACUUGCUGUCCCUUUGCUAUCUUUUCGAAUGAGUCAGUCUCUACCUGCUGGACACUAGUUCCUGUUCUCUCUCUACUCUCUGUUGUCAGGGAGGAGGGGGUGCUGAGUGGCUUGGCGCUUGUAUUUGUUUCUGUAACAGUGGAAGUACAGGUGAGGUGAAGGCAGUGCUGAAGGAGGGGUGACUGUCAGAGUUUCCUGUCAGAUUCCAAGGCUUCGCAUGCCCUUUGUUGGUUUUCUUCUUUAAAAUGUUUGUUUCUUUGAUCCACAUUUCUAACAACUUUAUUGAACCCUUAUAGCCUUCACUUCCUUUAUGUGGAAUCUGUCACUUAAGUAUACUCAUUCAAAAUGUUCUAUGCAGUGACGUUUUGUAUAUUGCAGAAUUCUGAACUGAUCAGCCCAACUCAUUUUUGAAGAACAUUCCUGUUGUUGCACCGAUAGAAAUAUCAAUAAAACCCCCAAACAUAUGUUAGUCUUGGAAACUGCUAAUCAACUAUAUUUAUAGCUUUGCCUGGUAGAUCCAUUUUACAUACAUGCAUCUGACUGAUAUGUUGUUAUUUGUGACUUGAAUUUUUUCACUCAGCAUGUUUUUGAGGUUUAUUUACAUCCUUAGAAACCUGUCAUUUUUUUCUCCAUCUUUAUUAAAUUGGGUAUUUCUUAUUUACAUUUCAAUUGUUAUUCCCUUUGCUGGUUUCCAGGCCAAUAUCCCCCUAACCCUUCCCCUUCCCGCUCUAUAUGGGUGUUCCCCUCCCCAUCCUCCCCCCAUUGCCGCCCUCCCCCCAACAAUCCCGUUCACUGGGAGUUCAGUCUUAGCAGGACCCAGGGCUUCCCCUUCCACUGGUGCUCUUACUAGGAUAUUCAUUGCUACCUAUGGGGUCAGAGUCCAGGGUCAGUCCAUGUAUAGUCUUUAGGUAGUGGCUUAGUCCCUGGAAGCUCUGGUUGCUUGACAUUGUUGUAUAUAUGGGGUCUCGAGCCCCUUCAAGCUCUUCCAGUUCUUUCUCUGAUUCCUUCAACGGGGGUCCUAUUCUCAGCUCUGAAUGGGUGUUCCUUUAGUCUCUGUUCUAAACUUUGCCUUCCUAUCCCCUCCCAAGGGUAUUCUUGUUCCCCUUUCAGAGAAGGAGUGAAGCAUCUGCAUUUUGUUCUUCCUUCUUGAGGUUCAUGUGUUCUGUGCAUCUAGGGUAAUUCAAGCAUUUGGGCUAAUAGCCACUUAUCAAUGAGUGCAUACCAUGUGUGUUUUUCUGUGAUUGGGUUAGCUCACUCAGGAUGAUAUUUUCCAGUUCCAUCCAUUUGCCUAUGAAUUUCAUAAAGUCAUUGUUUUUGAUAGCUGAGUAAUAUUCCAUUGUGUAGAUGUACCACAUUUUCUGUAUCCAUUCCUCUGUUGAAAGGCAUCUGGAAACCUGUCAUUUUUAUUGGCAAACCUAUUCCACGAUGUGGUUAUGCCACACCAUAUAAUUCAUCGUUCAGUUGAUGGACACUUGGGUUGCUUCCAUGUUUUGCCAUAAUGAACAAUGCCACGUUGGGCGUUUAUGGGUUCUCUGCUUAGACAUGGGUUCAUGUCUCUUGGAUGCCACUUAAGAGUGGAAUUGCUAGAUCACGUAGUAAGUCUGUGGUUAAUGAUUUGAGCAAGUGCCGAAGUGUUUCACAAAGCCACCAGUUCUGUCUUCUGUGCUCACGUUUCUGUAGAUCUAGCACAUCUAACGCACCUUCGCCCUCCGUUGUUUCUGUAGAGAGCAGUUACUGCCUCAUAGCUGCUGUGAUAUCCAUCGCCUGGACAGCCAAUGAUGCUGAGCAUCCCUUUGCGGCUCACUGAGUGUUGCUGAAUUUUCCGUGGGAGAACUCCUCUUCAGUUCAUUCGCUAUAUCAAAUCUCACUUACUGUUCUAUCGUUGAGUUACGGUGGUACUUCAUAUAAACACAAGUCCCCAGUACAGAAAGUGUCUACUGUGUAGGUGAUGUUUUCAAUUGCCUGGUAGGCUAGGCUUUUAUUUCUGGAAUAUCUACUCUGUCUACUCCAUACGCUUGAGCCAGAACCAUAUUGACUCGAUUAUUAUAACUGUGUCUUUAAUUUUGAGAUAAAAGUUGUAUUUUUCUAAACUUGUUCAGAUACUUUUUUUUAAAAAUGACCAUUCUGAGUUCAUCGAAUUUUGGAGUGAAUUUUAAGAACGGCUUAAAGCAGAACUGAGGUUUCGAUGGAGGGCGUGUUGAUUUUGGAAUUGUUGCGGUUGUGAUGAUUUCAGAUUGUCUGACCUAUGAACAUGGUACGCCUUUCCACUUACGUAGGUCUUCUUUCAGUGAAGUAAGGUUUUGUGGUACUCAACUAUCAGUUCUGUGUAUCUUUUACUAAAAUUAUUUCUCUAUAAUUUUCCCUUUUCAAAGAUAUUAUAGAUUGAAUUAUAUUUAAUAAAAAUAUAGACAUAAAUUGAUUUCCGGAUAUUUAUCUUGCACAUUGUCACUUGGUUGAGCACACUCAUUUAUUUGAAUGUUUUUUAAAACCCAGAUUUCAGGGUUUUUCACAUCCAAGACUGUUUCAUCUGUAAAUAUGGUGCUUUAACUUUCCCAAUAUAGGUGCCUUUUACUUCUCUCUGCUGCUCAUUCUGGUUAAACCCUGGUUUACAGGGUGGAUGGAAUGGGUGAGAGUGGACGCUAUUGUCUUUCCUGUUCCCCAUCCUUCAGAGAAAGAAUGCAAGUUUCACCAUUAUGUGGUUUUCCUUAGAUUCGCUGCUUCCUUUCCUUUCUUUGUUUUCUUUCUUCUUUCUUUUUCUUUUUGGUUGAGAAUUUGAUAAAAUGCAAAGGAUGUUUCCUGCUGUGACAUGGCUUUCUGUUUCUAUUGAGGUCAUUUUGUGACUUAGUCCGUUGUUCUGUUGAUAUGGUAUGUUCGAUUCACUGACUUUCAAAUACUGAAUGGACCUUGCAUUCUGGGGACAAAUCCCAUUUUACUGUUCUAUAUAAUCUUUUAAGAAGUAUGCUUUUAGAACAUGUUUGUCAGUGUUCCGUUGAAGGUUUUUGCUUGUGUAUUCUUAAGAGACUUCGGUCUAUAGAGUCGUUUACAUUUCUGACUUUACUUGUGUGCUUCUCAUAUUAUCUCCAUCCUGGCCUCAGAGAAUGAGCUUCUAAUUACUCCUUUGAGUAAUUUUUACAAUGCAUUUGCACUAACUUUCUCUAAUGUUACUAAUCCAAUUUCCCAGUUUGGGGUUCCAUCCAGGUUUCCUACUCCUUGUUGGACUGAUUUUGAUGUUUGCAUCUGUACCUGUUACUUAUUGUCAGCUCCACACAAGCUAGAGUCACCUCGGGAUUGAGGAAUUGAAAAGGGGCGGUAGAUUCAUUGACUUUCAGAUACUGAGUAAACCUUGCAUUCCUGGGAUAAAUCCCAUUUCAUUGUUAUAUAAUCUUUACAACACGUGCUUUUAGAGCGUGUUUGUUGGUUGAGGCGUUGCUCCCUUCACAUGGGAUGUGUCAGUGGGUUCACUUUCUGGAUUAAUGAUCCAUGUGGGGCAGCCAAGCCCACAGUUGGCUGUGUAAGCCCUGAGCUGUAUAAGAAACCAGGCUCAUCAAGCCAUGGGGUCAAACUAUAGAGUUCCUUUAUAAUCUUUCUAAUUUGUAUCCAGCUGAGCAGUAUCUCCUCAUUCAGUGUUGAGUUUAGUAACUUGAAUCCUCUUUUAUGUACCCUGUUGGUCAACCAUUAAAAAUAUAUACAUUUUGUAGACAUUUUCAAAGAUCUAAUUUUCUUGUUGAUUUUUUUCUUCUCUUUUCUUUCUGUUCGAAUACUUAGCAUUUCCCUUCUGUUUGCUUCAGAUUUGCUUUUCUUUUCCUUUCUCAGUGACUUUUACCCCAGUGUUUCCUUGAGAUAGACAUGUCUAGCUAGAGACUUCCCUAUAAGUACUACUUUUGCUGCAUCUCAUUAGAUUGUCUAUAUUAUUUAAUUUUCAUGCAUUUUAAUAAUUACUAGUAUUCUUGUGAUUCCUUUAUUCCUUUAUUUUUGUCCUUUUGUUAUUCUAUUAUUCAUUAUUUAUAGAUUCUAUUAUAUAUAACAAUAUUAUUAUAACAACACAUUAUAAUAUCAUUAUAUAUUAAUAGCAUAUAUGUAUUAUAUUGUAUUAAUAUAUAUGAUUAUGCAUUAAUAUAUAGUAUAAUGAUAUAUAUUAUUUUAAAAGAUAUUCAUUAUUAUCUUUACUCCAUUUUCAUUUGGAAAUGUAUUCUUUACAUUUCUGUGCAACUGUGAAGUUUUUAGAUUUCUUUCUGCUACUGAUUUCGAAUUUGAUUUCAUUCUUCUUCUAAAGCAGACUUUGUACCCCACCAGUGCCUUCAGACACAUACUUAGGCUUGUUUGAUGGCUUACUGCGGGGUCUACUCAAGGAAAGAUCCGUGCUCUCUUGAGAAAGAUGUCCUCUGCUUACAGUGUGCUGGAGAGCUCUCUAUGUUAGACUUUGGUUUAUAACAAAUGUCUAGUCUUAAAUUUUUGUUGACUAAGAAGAGAUUUACCAAGAUGUUUAGUCUGUCCUUGGCGUUUUCAGAGCUGUAAAGGAGCCCACUGCCGGCUUCAUUGUGCUCAGAAUAGCUGCUCAUCCAAACGCAAAGGAAUUACUUUAUAUGAAAAACAAAGCAAGAACCUGGGGAGAUGGCUCAGUAGAUAAAGAACAUACUAUGUAAUUGUCAGGGCUAGAGUUUGAACUCCCAGACCUCAGUAAAAGCCUGGCGGGUAUGGCCUGCAUUUCUAGCCCUUGGGGGAAGGGCUCCAGGGGUAAGCUGGAGACCCAGAUUAGUCAAAUUGCUGACCUCCAGGCUCAGCGAGAAAUUCUGUCUUAAUAAAUCACUGGUGAAUGUUUGAGGAAGACAUAGGCUGUCAAGUUGAAGCAGGCAUGCACACACAUGUGCACAUGCACAGAAAUGUACAUGCAUAACACAUAUGUAUAUGUACAGAAAGCAAAAGAUUGAAAAAUUUUAACAAGUCUUGAUAUUAUUGUCCUAGAAUAUGGGCCUCACAAGUCUAGUCUAAGGUGUGGGUGUCAAACACAACCUGACUACUCGUAUUCUUAUAUUGAAUUGUCUUAAACCCAAUAGCAUUAUUGGUUCCCAGGGACCCAUAGAGCAUGUUCACAGAUUCAGAAGAAAUCCACAGAUUCCAACGAAUGUGAAUCCCUGGUUGACCACUUUAGCUCUGGUUGUCCUUCAGGAGGAUAGAGUUUAAGAUCCAGUGCAUGCAGACUAUGGCCAUAUCGUCACACAUGUAAAUGGAAGACAGAAGCAUUUUGACAGUUUCUUGAAAUUUCUGCCCUUUAAAGUCGGUUUUGGGUGGUGCAUGGAUAGAUCCUGUUUUGUCAAAGCAUGCUCUCUUUCGCGAAAUUGCUGUAAUUGAGGCCAACAUCUCCCAUUAGUGUUGUAAACCGGGAUUCAAGUUGAGAUAGUCUCUGGUUCAGUGCACCCUGGAGAACUCAAGAAUUGUUCUGUUUGACAGAUAAUAAGGCUCCCAUUGACAAGGUUACUAUUGACUAAAAUAUGCUUAUAUCACGAAGUCUAUUUUGGAGUGGGUUGAAUUUUUCCGUAUUGUAUUAGGUCACCAUUAAAGAUCUAUCAGACUUUAUUCCAACAAUGUUAAUAAUAAACCAUUUAGCUUUCACAAUGUGAAUUUGUGAACGUUCUUCCCAUUGUUGAAAAAAUCGGUUUGUUUCACUUAUUUUCCUGCGCCCUUUUGCCUAGAAAUGAUGACUACUUGGCGACAUAACUUUGUAAAUAAACUUUUUUAUGAAACGUUUUUAUUUUACUUUUAAUCUUCAAACUAUUAUAUAUGACCUCUUGAUUGUAUAAGCACUCAGCUGUGUGGGAGAAAUAUUUCUUCCAUCCCCACCCUGUGUGACAAUGCGUUCUUUCUCAUUUUGCAAAGAAGUCGCGUCUCUAAUUGUCACUAAUGGAUCAUUUCCAUUAGAGACUUUUUGUCCAGGCCACCUAACUGAUGUUAAAAUCUGAUUACCCAUUAGGAUAGUUUGUCUUUUAGGGAUCCUGUGUCAAGGGCUGUUUGAUGUCAUCUGUAGACACGUGUGUAGUAGAAAAGGCAGAUGUAGUGAUUUUCUCUCUCUGCCUGCUCCCAUCAGUGGGUGAUCUUGAUUGAACAAGCACGCAGUUUCCCUGAGUUCUGGUAGGUAUCAUACAGAGGAGGAGCAGCGCAUCCAUGUGCAGUUAGUCAUGUGUGUUAAAGAUCUACAUGGCUGUAAAGCACCUAGUAAGUGCCUGGUCCACAGAGCACUUCUUAGUAGCUUUAAAUUCUCUUUCCAUUCCUCUCUUUUGAAGCAGCGAAUGAGCUCAGUUUCUUUCUUUUCCUUUAUUAGGGCUGGUAAUGGAACAUUCUGCCCAGCUACAUGCUCAGCUUUGAGAUGAUUUUAUUUUCACAUUAGUUUUAUAUGAAUUACAUCUGUGCUCUUCAAACCUGACCUAGGCCUCCAAGGGAGUCAGUACUCCCCCACCCCCACCUGCCGCCGAACAAUUUUGACUCCUUCACGAGCUAGAACAACAUUAACAAAAAUUCCCAAUUUCCCUAAGUUUAUGACUGUUAAACAUUUUAGGCAGUUAUUACAUUUAUCCUUGUUCUGACCUUGCCUUUUAAAGAGUUAUAUUUAAUAUAUUGCUAGUCAAGAAUAGAAAGAAAUGGUUUCAGGGGAUCCUUAAACUAGCCUUAUAAUUUAUCGGCAUCCGGUGCAACCUUACAAAUAAAUACAACGAUGCAAAUGCGCUUUGUUUUCCCCUUAGAUUUUACGUUUGCUUUUAAAUCUCUUACGCCUUUCGCACCCCCCCCCCCCCCCCCGCCUCUGUCUCUGAUGCAGUCAAUAGAGCUGAUCACUCUCAUUCCUUCAGUUCUUACUUAGAUUCCAUUAGCGGUCUGGGUGCUGCCGGCCUGAUCCUGUUUGAGCCAGGGAUUCCACUUCCCACCAGCAACUAAUAUCAUCCAUUAGUUUCUCCCUUACAGAGUGACAGUGUUUACUGGGCUUCCAAAGCCGGUUUUGGAAUUUAACUUUGGAAUGCUGUAAACUAAUACUAAUCUGACCAUAUUUGGCUUUAAAAAUAGCCUCUAAGAAGGAGAUAAAGGUUUUCUGUUUAGUGAUGAUUAAGUGCCUAUUUGGAUGUGUUCAUCUGAGGAACUGAAGAUAAUUUUGUCAUCAGGCUACUUGUAUAAGGGCACAAACAGAUGGGUCUUGCUCCAGACCCUGGAGGCAAACGGAGCAGAUGCCCCUUUGAUUGCCCGGGGAAGACGUGCACAGGCGUGUCUCCGAAGGACACUCUGUCACUGUGACAACCUUCAGGUUUGAGGCUUCUGAGACCUUGUUGCAUUCAUUCAGCAAAAUCUUCCUGGACUGUACUGCAGUUAGGCUCUCUACCAAGAACCAAGGAGAAUUUCCGGUAAAUGCACGCACUAACCCUGAAGUCGUCACAGAUUUACACAGAGCAUCAGAUUCACUCAGAAACCAAAAUGUUAGGAUGCUGCUGGGAGACUGCUCAUGCCCUCUGGUAGUGACAGUUCGGAAGCAAAAAGUUGGUGAUUCCUCCUAUCUUCUAUGGUUUUAUAAUCUUGUAAUCUGCUUAUGGGACAAAUAAUGCCUUCCUUAAGGAUUGGUUGUCAGGAUGGCACUUUGAGCUGGUCCAUAGCCAGCGUGUAUACAUGGUGGUGAGGAUGACAUUCUGUUUGUAGGAAGAUAUGUAGUAGUUAUGAUCACCAUUUGCUCCUUUAUAUUAAGCUCACAAAGUCAACCAUGUUAGCCACUCUUAUGAACACCGCACCUCCCAUGGCAAGGCGAGCAAGUCAGCCUUUCCUUCUCCAGAGUCUGUGAAGAGGAAGUUAGCUUCUCAUCUGACGAUCUCUUGAGUAAUUGGAUAAAUCAACAAAUCAUAUUCUAUCCACCGAAAAUCUAAAAUUGGACCGAUAAUCUAAAAUUUAGAUCAUUGGACCAAUAAUCUAAAGUUCCCAAAACCUUGAUCAAAACUCAAACAGAUAAUAUUCUAAAAUACAGAUUCGGAAACAUGAGAGAAGUGACCCAGCGCUUUGUAUGUAGCGAGUGCUUGCAAAUAUUUCCUUAUUUAUUGGUUGAAGAAGUAAGCAACACAUUUUAGAUUAUGAGGAAAAUUGCCUUUCUACAUUACUUUGCACCAUUGAGAAGGAUUAUUGUUUGGAGUUUUUCCCCUAAUUACUUAUUGAUUUGAAGAAUUUGUGAUUGGAAGAGGCUGGUAGAUUUUUCUACUCCUCACCUCUAGUUUUAUAAGUGAGGAGACAGAAAUGGGGUGAAAUGACUGGACCAAAGAAAGCAAGUUAAUGAGUGAGGUGAGGCUAGAACUUAGGCUAGGCUGGUGACAGCAUAGAGGACAUUUAUCCCUUGGCUUUCCCAAGGCAUGUCCAUCAGUGCUAGUGAGUAGAUAUUCAAAACAAGAUGGUGGGUGGGACUUGCAGGGAGAAGGGGAGUUUCCAAGAAAUAUUUUCUCAAAGGAAACAGACAAAUGACGUCAUCUGAGGACAGGCAUCAUCCAUGUUGCUCUUCAGCAGGCUGAUGAGGCUGACAGGGAAAUAGCUCUAUUUGUAGGCUAUGACUCCAAGACGUAGGAUGCUGUUAAUGAGGGAUCAGUCCCACAAGCUGUUAAAUAGUCCAGGCUGAAGGUAAUGCCCAUUUCCAUAAGGGGAGGGACUGCACAGGUGUGUGAUCGUGUAGAUGUGAGUAGAUGUCUUUCAGGUAGCUCUAUCUGUGUUUGUUCCUUCACAUGUGUGAUGGAGACCCAGCCCUGCACUCGAGCCUGCAUGUGGGACAGGCGGUUGGUGUUCUACUGUGGCUGAGACUUGGAGACAGGAGAAAGAGUACCUUGGCAAGUAGAUGAUGGUGUGGAGAAGAGCCUACCUGAAGAGGGAGGGAAGCUGGGCCUUUAAGGUUUCAUGUCAUUGUGUCUUGAAGAUCGUUCCCAUUUACCGUGGUCACUCAGCUCCACUCAGUGAUUAUUAACUGAGUAGCUCACAGACACAAACUGUUCUGUGUUAGAGCUACUGGAACUUGUCUGUGCGGCGCCUCCGUUCUUCUGGGGGAGGAAUUAAAUUACCACUCUCUUCUUCUCACCUGUUCCUUUGAUCUACUGAUUUCCUCAUUCUUACUUCCCACUCUCAUCUAGAAAUACCCAGGAACUCAACUCCAUUAUUACCUGUUUCACCUUCUCUGACCUAUGUUAAGUUCCUUUGGUAAGCCAACAUGGCCACGAUCAGCCCAUUGAGGUCUUUAUCUGCCCAGCAGACACUGCGUGGCUGAAGCUCUGUGUAGUCUUCUUGCCUCUACGUGGCCUUUCAUGGAGUUCCCCUUUGUAAGUUUGAAUGCCUUCAGAUAAUUUUCACACAAGAUUUUUGCCAGAUCCACCAUAACAAUUGCUGGGACUUUGGGUGUCAAUUAAGAGCAUAGAAGCCAAGAUUUGGGUUUGGGUUAAGUAACCUCUUAAGAUCGGGUCAGGUAGGGAAAGGGCAUUGCAGCUGAGAGUAGGGUUUUCAGGUGAGGCUGAUGAAGGUUGAACAGAGCAUGCAGCCCAUUUGUAAGGAUCACCCUGGAUUGUAGACACGGGGAUGGGGGAUGCCAAGUGCUUGCCAUCAGAAGGAAAUCAAUGGCUGUUGCUGACUAUUGACUGGAUGCACAGGAAUUACUGUGAUGGAGUUGUUUUCUAGGGUCCCCAGCAAAGGAUGUACAAAUGACGUGCCAUCUUGGUGAAGUGAAAUAAGAUUUUGAUUUACAGUGCUUUUUCAGAGUGAGAUGAAAUGUCUCAGAGGUAGUAGGUGUUGCCGAAAAUGACAUUUUAUCUUUGAAGGCCUGGAUGGCUGUGCUCACUUUUCCCCUUUAACUCGAUGAUGGAGAAAUCUAAUCUUUAACAGUAUCAGCUCGUAUUUCCCUAACUGUUCCUAUUAGAAAGGUGAUUUGGCCUCAUUACAUUCCUCGGAGGAGGUUGACAUUGAAUCAUAUACAAUGACAUUAUAAAUCAGAAUGUCUUUGAAUCCUAUCAUAGAAGACAUUUAUGUAGUACAUAUUUUGUUCUUAAAAUAACCCAUAAGAUAGUUAAUUAUAAGCAGGAUAUUGUUGACAUUAUCUAAUUUUAUUAUUUGUAAUGUUGGAUCCACUAUUCUUAGACGUUGGAAUGCUCUCAUGGUCUCACUGUGAUGUCAUAUUUUCCAGACUGCUUCAGUCGAUUGCAUAUGAUAACACACUCUCUUUAUAAUAUAGCACAGACAUCCUUUUCCUCAAGGAUGUAUUUGAUGUCUUUCCCCUUUGAAUCUGAGUUGUCUGACCAAGAGUUGAAAGCGAUAGGUUUUAGUUCGGAAGCCAUUCACAUAAUUAUCAUGUCCUUCCUUUUCCUCAUUCUCCUGGGGCGUUUGCCCUUGGAAGCCAUCUGGCUAGCUAUGAGUAAGUGUGUAGGUAGACUGCCUUGCUGCCCAAACAAGGUCCUACCUGAGAGCUAGCGUCAACUCCUGAGAUGCUGAGAUCCAUCAAGGCUAUCAAGCCUUCAGGCCCUGAGUCAGCCCACCCUCAGCUUCUCAGCCAUUUGAGCUGAUAUUAUGUGAGCCAGAGAGCAAUUCUGUUAGGAUUGAGGGGUCCUGGGAUGAGCAAUUGUUGCUUUUAAGUCUUUGAAUUUGGGGUUAUUUAUUUCAUAGCAGAAGACAAGGAGAGGAAGUUGCUAGCAUGAUUUUGACAUUAAUCUGCUUAUGAAUCAUGUUUUAAAGAGGAGCUACAUAUUCCGUUUGUCCACACUAAAGAAUGAGAUCUUGACUGAGUAGCACAACUAACUAAAGACCAGGAGUCCCACUUGUUGGAUGCUAGUUUCUAACUGAACGUUUAGUCAGGGAUGGUUAAGAGUGAGACUAUCUAUAUAGCUCUGUCACAUAUUAGUUGGUGGACAAGUUACUUAGUCUCAUCAUCCAUAGAAUGGGUAUGGUACUAAUAUCCUUAACUUACAGUUUUGACGAUCAGGUGAUUUAGUACAUGUACAAAUCUUAGAACAACAUGUGAAACAAAUCAAGCAGGGAAUGGAUGGUGGAUAUUGUUAGUAGAAGCAACACAGUCCUGAUGCUUUAUGGAUUUGGUUCAAGGAUUUGUCAUGGGUAAAAGAACCCAAACCCAAUAAUGAUAAUUUCAGCUUUCUGCAUGUUCUUACAAACAACAAGUCAUGCAGUAACCAAGCCUCAUAGUGUAUUUUCAUCAUGGUCUCAGGUUUACCUCAGUGAUGUGCUCUGACGACAGUCAUUAACCUUCAGGGACACUGAGAUCAUUUUGCCCCAGACUUGGUUCUCCAGGCACUCGUGCAGUUAUGAGGAUGUCUGCAUCUCAUUGCAGGCUCUCCAUAAAUACAGCUUCCUCUUUGCUUCUGAAUUUCAGCUUUUAAGUAGAGAGCAGAGGCUUAAUUUAUCCAUGCAUUCCUAAGUAUGGCUUGCUUUCUUGAGGUUUUCUUUUUCUUUUCUUUCUUUCUUUUUCUUUUUUGAAAUUGUUUGCUGUAGUCAUGUAAUGUAUCUCCUCUAACCAGAACAUCUUCGUCGGCGUUGUCUUUGCUGUAAUUGCUGUCUUCUGUGUGUUGCCAAGAUAGAAGGCGGGCUUUCAAUCUUCUUGGUGGGGAGAGGUGUUUUCUGCUGGAAGUCUGAUUAGAAAGUAGAUGUUGUGCAAAGCAAAUGCUCUAAUUCUUCCUGGGGAAAAUGUCCAGUACAUGUUCAGUGGGAGCAUCGAAGGGCCUGGACAGUACCCUGUAAGUCAGUGAUUCUCAACCUCUGGGUUGUGAUCCCUUUUAGGGGGAGGACGGUUGAACAACCCUUUCACAAGUGUCACCUAAAACCACUAGAAAAUACAGAUAUUCACAUCACAAUUGAUAACAGUGGCCAAGUUACAGUUAUGAAGUAGCUCAUCACAGCAUGAGGAGCUGUAUUAAAGGUCACAGCAUUAGGAAGGCUCAGGAGCACUGCUGUAGGCUACAAAGAUGGCACCCGCAUCUUUCAUCUUGCUAUUUAGUGGGUUUAUAUCUUGUGAAUUUUCUUGAAGACACAACUCACUUAAAUUAAUGAAUAGCAUAGGGAAAUAUUUAAACCUUUUUUUUAAAUAGCUGAGUUGUAGUUUCUUGCUAAUGACGUACUUUUGUCUUACUUUUUUUUCUGUGUUCACAUGCCUGCCUGCUCAUUUGUGUGCAAGUGCACAUGCAUGUGUACAUGUGAGUGCAUGUGGAGGCCAGAAGAGAACCUUAUUUCCUCAGUGUUCUCUCCCUUGGUUUUCGAGACAGGGUCUUAUACUGGCCUGAGGUUUGCCAGUUAGUCUAGACUCACCGGCCAAUAAUCACCAAGGUUGUGCAUGUUUUUGUCUCUCUAGCAGUAGAAUUUCAAGUGCAGGAUGUCACGCACAGUUCUUCUGUGGGUUCUGGUGAUUGUGUGGCAAAUGCUUUACCAACUGAGGUAUCUUCCCCCCGCCCCCAUGAACCUUAUUCUUUUUACAUUAAGGUUUUUGUUUAGUAGACCAAGUAAUGCGUUUCUUUAGGACGUUUGCACACAUCUGUGCCAUUGAACUUUGUCUCUGGUCGUUCUUCCCCAAGGUCCUCUCCCAUGUCCCCGCUGGACCCCUUCCUUCCUCUAGGGAGCCCCUCUUCUGCUUCCACACCAGCUAUAUGUAUCACCCUCUUCUCUCCCCUCCCUUAGGACCCCCUAACUCAUAAACUUCUUGCUUCUUCCUAGUUGCAUUACCCUCUACACACAUCUAACUAAACUAUUCAUAUACCCAUAUAUAAUUUUAAAUUUAGAUUCUUCUUAUGUGAGAAAGACAUAAGUCAUUUGUCUUUCUCAUUUGGGAUUUGUUUAUCAAAAACAUCGGUGAAAGUCCAUUCACAGUUAGUAAUCGUGCACUUGUUCUCAUCAUUAUGAGUCAGAGCUUUGAGUUCUUUAAAAGAAAGUAACCAUCAUGCUUUAUGUUCGUGAGUUUUAGAAGGAGGAAAGCUUCACAUCAUUGAUUGGGUAGGAAGCUGUCGGGCACCUUUUCCUUUAUAGAGAAACCUGAAGCUCCCACACAUCUGGAAAGGGGCUAACUUAACUUGCGUUUGGCUCUAACAACAGCAGGAUCAAAGGUUUCUGUGUCUUCUGCAGCGAGGCAUCAGGAGGAAGGCGACUGAUUAGUGUUCUGGUGGCAGGCAGCUCCAUGGCCAUAUAGGGGGCUCAGGGUUGGGACAGCUGCUCUUUGAGGCAUGACUUCUACAUUUCAGGAGAAAAGAAGACAAGGGAGAAGAAGCAAUAACUAAGACAAGAUGCAUUUUAUCCCUUUAAAAUCAAGAAGGCUGUGUGACUUCCAGUCACCCUGUUUAUUGAACUUCUGUUCACCAGUAAGUCACAUGACAUCUACUAACUUCAAAGAGUUAUCUUAGCUCUCUGCUGCUAUGUGACAAAUUGCUCUGUGUACCAGUAGCUCAGUGACAACUUUGCUGGUAUCUCUGUCCUCAGGCUUCCCACAAACAGUGGCCCAGACAAAGAUAAGCAAGGGACUGCAAUUUCACCCGAAAACUUGAGAGGAACCUACUCCCUCUCAUAUAGUUUGGGUUCAGAACCAAUUGGGUUGGCAAUGCUGGCUUUUGUUCCUCACAGGCUGUUGACCAGAGUUCUUCCAUUCCUUCUCAUGAAGCCUCCCCAUGGCGCACGCCAUACAUCAUACUUAGCUUGUCUUCAACUGAGCGAGAGUAAGAGAUGGCAGGAAAAAGGUCGCUACCAUCUUCUAAUUUUGUUGCUGGUAUUGUUGAGGGCUUGUGUGAGACAGGGUCUCACUCUGUGGUCUAGGCUGGUCUCAGGCUUACAGUGAGUCUCCUGCCUCAGCCUCGCAAACACUGGUAUUAUGGGUGUGAGUCAUUGUGCGAUGCUCCCUUAUCAUUUCACUUUGUUUUGUUUUUAGUUCUAUUCAUGAGCCAUCAUGCAGAUCUUCUGCCACAUCAAUCAAUGAAGACUUUGGACAUAUAUGUUACUGCCACCCAAACCCAGAAGGACAGGAUGAAUGUCUGCAGCUAGCCAGUGCCAUCGCAUAGACCAGGGGCAGGGAGCAUAGAAACCCGAGCUGAGCUCUACAUGCGCUGCCUAGUCAGUAAAUUAACUCGUUCCUUUGACUGUUCUUUCAAUAAAGUCAUUAAGUCAUUGACUAAUUUAAAAAGAAAAUGAAGCAUAAAGACACAAGUUGUGGACUCUGUGUCGCCUGCACCUCUUGUAUUACUGUACGGUGGAGCUAAAACUAGAACCCAGUUCUCCCCCAAACCCAGCAGUUAUUUUCCCUAAAACAGCAUGAUAAAGCCCUGAUGCACAACUUCUGAGACACAUCAUAGAAGCCUAACAUCUAGAUGAUUGACUUUUAAAAAAAAUUAAUUACCACCAUUUUGAAAAGGCAAUUUCUGUCACUCUCUGGGCAGAUGUCAAGGAGCCAUGUACAGGAAAGUGAGCUGCAACUCUGGUGUUAGAAUAGCUAUGCUAAUGCGACACUGAGAUUCCUUUGACUUUGAAAAGCUAUUGUUCAGAGGAGGCUUUAUAUUUUGGAUCUGCAUUUGGGAUACAUAAAGAUAUGUUGAGACCUUAUUACAAAGCAACAAUUUACACUUCUUUUUGUAUUUUUUACUUUACGUCUGAAUUACUGUUUUUGUAGUAGAUAAGAACUGAAGUUUUAAAAUGAAAUUCCCUUAUAUACCUUUGAGUGAGCUGAAUUUUCUGACUCCGGGGUUCAAGUUACUGUUAAAGCAGAACUAGUAGCUUAAUAUAAUGAUCAUUAUAUAUCUAUCCAGUCUUCACUGAACACACUUGGUUUGAAUAUCUGCUUGGACAAGGCACCAACAAAGUUGCUGUUGGGGAGAUGUAAGUGGAUGUCAAAGAAGCAAUCCUUGAACAGUGGUAAUUCAAACGGGGUUAGUUUCCCAUAAAUACCUUUGGAAACAGUGCAUGUUAAGGGGGAUUAGAGAGGAGGGGAGCACUUCAAGCUUGUAAAUCAGGAAAAGGUCACGCUAGAGCAAGGCCUGCUCCUAAAGAGAGAUCAGGCAAUUAAGCAUCUGAAAGCACGUUUGCUUGCAGUGUCACCUUCUCUGCUCAGGGCUUGGUUGACAGUGUUGUAUGAUGUCAUUCAAUGCAAGGCCCUUUAAACCAAAGUGCUUGAUCCCCUUGCCUUAGGACAAACAAGGAACACCACAUUUGCAUAUAGGACUCAAGCCCUGCUGGACGUGGGUCUUUAUAUCCUCAUGUGAUAAUCUGAUCAGUGCCUGCGGUGGAAGAAUGGGUCAAAGCAGAAAGGUCCCCAGCAGAAACAGGGCAAGCUGGAGAUUCACCCUUUCUCCAGGGUGACUUCUCACAGUCGUUCCUCGGUUGGGAAGAAACUGACUCUGUCUGAGACUGUCUGCCAUUGUCUUUGGGCGAGCAGGCGUCCUGUUGUUUUGUUUCUGGAUUUACAAGGACGCUAAUUUCACAGCCGCAAGAAAGAAAUAAGCUAACAUGCAGGGCUCCUUAGAGAGGAGCUUGGUGCGUAGGAAACACUCAGUGUGUUUUAGCUCUUACAGUUGUCUGAAGAGUGAUGAAUUCCCAAGAUGCUAGUCUCCUACAUUUAGAUAGGAGGGAAGUACAGAAUGCGUUCUCAAAGGCAAAUUGAUUAAUUGCUCACAGCACUUUGUCUUUUCACAGAUAAUGGAGAACCGAACAAAUUCAGUGAACUGUACUAGAUUAUCCUCUUCCUCCGAUCCUGCAGUCUGGAGUCUUGGAAGAAAGGGCUUUGAGGAAGCCAGACUUUCUAUACAGUUAGUGUACAACUGUUCCCCAAGGCUGCCACAACACAGCAGGAAAAAUUGGGUGCUCAAAGACAGUGGCAAGCUCUCGAUUCACAAUGCCUGAAGCAGAAGCCCCAAGUCAAGAUGGUGGCAGGCUUGUCUUCACUCUGAGACUAUGGUCAGCAUCGUCCCGUGUUGCUCUCUAGCUUCUGGCGUUGCUCACACGCUGUCUCCUCAGUUCCCAGUGUCUAUAUUUCUUCCUCAGUUAUCUGGUACCAUUCUUCUCUUAUGUCUAAAAGUCCCCAGAGUAUCUUCAUCUUACAAGGAUGGCAGCCAUAUUGGAUUAGGGCAUGCACUGAUGCCUUCCUCUUCAUUUAAUUACUGUGAAGACCCUGUUUUGAGAUAAGGUCAUAUUCACCUCACUUAUAUGGCUGCCUUUCUUUUUUUUUCUUUAUAGAGAAACAAUUCACCCUUAAAUGGCUGUCUCUAAAUGUGCUUUGAUGCGUGUGUGUGUGUGUGUGUGUGUGUGUGUGUGUGUGUGUGUGUGUACAGGGGCUGACUGGCUUUGAGGAAUUUGAGUAGUGAUUAGUGUGGCAGACCUGGCCGCUGAAAUGCUUAUACACCUGAGUGUUAGUGAAUUGCAGGUCAAAGGCAAUUUCACAGUCGUCUAGAGGUGGCUGCUCCUGUAAGACAGCAGGGUGGCUCUUUUGCUUUUCUUGUUGCUGUUAGUAGGAGUUCUAUGACUUGUGGAUGUAUGAACCUUAGAUGGAGCCAUGGAAUCCAAGUGUUCAGAAUUUACCAUUGUACUUGGGACAAGUCAUAUAUUUUCUAGUUUGGUUCCUUGGGAGGUCACACACGACCUCUCAGUGGACUCAGUCAAUGACCUAACCAGGAGAGAAGUCCACACAAUGGAAAGCUUAGAGAGCCAGGCUGUUGCUGAGGUUAGACACCCUGGUCUUCCCUAACUUCUACGGUCUCGAGCUGGGGCUGUGUCAUGGUCCGAAAUUCUCCCAUUUGUCUCUGUGGAUCCUGAAUGCAGCAGAUAAAAUUUUCAAAGGCUUAGCUGCCUGUAAUUUAAGAAUGAACUUGGUUAGAAGUCAGAUCAAGCAAAGAAAAUGAAAAUGUCAUUGCACAGAGGAAAAUGACCAAGCUGAUGGAAAUGCAGUAUUUUUAAAAAUAGUAAUUUGUAUCCUCUCUCUGCUCCCCCCCCCUUUUUUUUUGUCUUAGCCUUUGAAGCAAAUGCUUCUCCUUUUGGGUAUAAUCUAGUAAUGGCUAGUGUUUGAGAGGGAAUAAAGUAGAAACCAACUGGUAUAAGUCUGUAGGGAAUGCCAAAGUGACUACGUGAAGCUCUAUUACCUAUACAGUGGCAUUCCUUCUCAGGAAACAUGUGGGCCAUCUGAGGUGUUGCUAGGAGUUACAGAUAGAGAGUGAGGGGCAGAGAACAUGGUCGUUUCCAGUGAUGCACUUAGAACUAGAUGAUGUGAGUUGGGGAGAUAGCUCAGUGGAGAAACAUUCAUUGUACAAGUGUAAGCACCUGAGUUGGGAUCCCCAGCACUUAGGCUAAUCUUGGAUAGGCCUGGUGAUUAAUGCAAUCCCAAUGUGUGGGACAGAGAGAGGGCAUUUCCAGGAUAAGCUGGCUAGAUAGACAAGCUGUACUGGUGUCCUCUGGUAUCAAGUAAGAGGUCCUGUCUCAAUAUAUAAGUUGGAGUAUGAUUGAGGAAGUCAUAUGUGUCAACCUAUGACCUUGAUGUGCAUAACACAUGUGUGUCUCCGUUUAUGUAAACAUGCAUGCACACAUACAUGCAAAGGAAAACUAGGUAAAGCAUCUGUACUCUUUGAUUUUGGAAGAUAUUCUUUAUAAUUUAUUCACUUUAUAAUUAAUAUAUUAUAAUUAUAAUUCCAAUUGUUCCCAUAUUAAACAGUACCUUUUCAAAUUACAUUGGUGAGUUAUAUAAUAAAGGUCAUCAUUAUCAUCAUUUUAUGAGUGUAAUGAAUAGCAGUUCGGUCUCCAUCAACAAGUCAUUCUACAAGUCAUGAAGUCUGAAUCAAUGUAUUAGCUUACACUGAGCUUGUUUCUUGAUGAUUCAUACUGAAAGUUUGAACUUUAGAACUUUACAGGAAGAAGAGCCUAAUUGCGGAAGUCACAAGAGGGAUGGAGAACUGUUUACUGCUUGCUCUGUUGUAAAGCGUAGGGGGGCCAACUAUUAUUCUCAUGCCCAGCAACCAGAAGAUAAGACAAGGAGGCCAGACACAGUAUGAAUAUACACUGUGAUUCCCAGAUCAUGAACUAAACAUCCUUAGACUUUAGAGAGUAAUAGAAUGCCUUCUUCCAUCUCAUGCUCUCUGCACACAGAAUAUCACAUUUAACUUUUAACACUGUAGGUUAGCAGAGCUCAGAGACUGCAGGGAUGGUUCAGCAGGUAUCAGCACUGGCUGCUCUUCUACAGGCCCAGGGAUCAAUUCCCUGAGCCUACAUGUUAGCUCACUCCCAACCACCCAUAACUCCAGUUCCAGAGGAUCUGAUGCUCUCUUCUGGCCAACUCAAGCACUAGAAAUAUAUGUGAUGUCCAGACAUAAUAACAGUCAAAACAACCAUACACAUUGUAUAUAUGCAUGUAUGUGUGUAUAUAUACAUUAACAUAUAUACAUAAGCACAAACAUACAUAUGUGUAUAUUUAACUUUUUAUACUAUAGACUAGCUUUGUCUCACACAUAUAUACACACAGAAAACAUAUAUAUGUAUACAUGAUAAUGUAUAUGUAACUUUCAACUCUACAGAUUAGCUUUGAAACACACACAGACACCACACACACACACACACACACACACACACACACACACACACACACACAGCCAAGCUAUCCUACAAUCUUAAAAGUUGGACGUGAUUAUUCUGUGUGCAGAGAUCAUGAUUUGGACGAAGGCAUGCUAGGACUGUCUGAAUUCUGAUAGUGAUCUUCAUGAUCUGGGGAUGUUGACCUCAGUGUGUUCAUCCUAUGAAAAUUUAUCUAGCUCUAUACUUAAUAUUCUCUAUAGCUUUCUGCAACUUUUAUAUUUAAAAAAAUAAAAACCACUGUAUGAUUGAGUUUAUUGGGAACCUACACGCUCUCUAAAGAUAUUUUUGUCCUGAAGAAUUUUGAAUUUUGUACAGAUAUUGUUAUUAAGAUAUAUGUUAUUAAAAUUUGUCUUGGUGGAUUUGGAAAUAUAUUCAUACACAUAAAAUUUUUUUAAAAAGUAUUUACGCCAAAAUUGCUGAAUGUUUCUUUGGCACCAUGCUUUAUUGUUUCUCAUAAUUAAUAACUACUUUUGUUUCUAAAAUUAUAUUUUCCAGUUAUAUUAAUGUAUUCAAAAGCCUUCCCAGGGGCCAGGAUUAACUGUAAUUUAUAUUCGUUUAGAACAUAGAAUUUGCUUAGCAGAUUCCUCAUUUCUUGGUAGCUGUGUUUUUAUAUUUAAAAGUUUUAGGACUCUGAGAACUAGGUGAACGGAAAAGAAUAAGGCGGGUGGGGGUGUGUAAAUGAGUCUUAGAAGGCGUGGCUGUGCCAGUGGUUGCUAUGUCAGUGGUCGGUGAUGCAGCCUUAGAGGACAAAAGUCUAAAUCCACAAUUAAGAGCAGGCUGAAGGAAUGUUCUCUUGGCCACACACCUUACACUUCCCGCUGGCCAUCUAUGUUGAACUCUUGUUGACUGAAUGGAUUUAGACCAUCCGAUUAGUUGGUGGAGAGAGAAUAUAAAGAACUUAGAUUUUGUUUAAAUUUUUACCUUUUUAAAUUACUUCAGCUGAGUGCUUUGGGAGGGAUGGGGAAAUAUGAGAUAGAGUUAAUAUGUCCUGUUUUCUUUCCCAGCAAGAACUUCCUCUCUAGAUGAAUAACCUAGUCUUUGAUAGGUAAAAUAUUUAAGUGAAGAUAUAUAUGUGUCAAAUAUAUGUAUUUGACAGGGAUGGAGAGAUGGCUCAGUGGUUAAGAGCAUUGAUUGCUUUUCUAGAGAUCCUGAGUUCAAAUCCCAGCAACCACAUGGUGGCUCACAACCAUCUGAAAUGGAAUCUGAUGCCCUCUCCUGGUGUGCAUGAAGACAGUUACAGUGUACUCAUAUACAUAAAUAAAUAAAUCUUUAAAAAAUAUCUGAGUAAGAUAGGAAUGUACACAUCAGUAACACUAAUUGUGUGAGAGCAUCUUAGCCUAGAUGUCACUGGUGUCUUUCAUGGAUCACUGGAAUAGCCUCUAACUGGUCUCUGCUUCACUCUUAAAGAUAACGUCUAUGUUUGGCUUAUUAGCACUCUUAGGAUUAAUGAUUUCGAUUUCCUGACGUUACUCUGUCAUACUUGACCUAUUUAUGCAUUCAUUUGUUUGCCAGUCACAUGAUAACCACUGCCUCUCUGACGGAAACCAGCAUUAGAAGUGGAAUAGACUAGCUACCAGGAAAUGUAUUAAUAUGCCCGAUACCUGUGUGAAAACAUGUGACACCGUCAGUGCUCACAGAUGAUAGGGACAGUUUUUUCUCUCAGACUGUCCCAAAUGGAGAAUAAAUGCUAAUAUCCACCAUUGCUGAAACUUUAUGGGAACCGGCCCAUUGGUAUACUCUUGCCAGAGGCAACUUCAGCAGUUGGAUAUGCGAGUUAAAGCAUCCUUAGCCAGAGACAGCGAUGGGCCCAGUGAGUCUCAGGUCUUUAAAAUAUGAACACAGAAUUAAGUAUGGAAGUAAAGGUUGGAAUGAGGGAAAAAAAGUCACAUUUUCUAAAGUUGAUAAGCAGCACAAAUGUCACAAAUACAUUAUUAAGUGGCAAGCUUAAAUCAGCGCACUCCAGGUCAAGGCUGCGAACACCCGUGCUCCGAUGGCCUCAGACAGAUUAUUCAUAGAAGAAUUGAUUACGAAAGAUCAAAGCCCAGUUGCAAUCUCUUGCACUCUGCGGUGAAUGCCCUGGUCUGAACCUCAAUGGUGUUUCUCUUGGAUCACUAGGGUUGUCUCCGCUUUGCCAUUGAGCAUAUGUCUGCGUUUGGUUUAUGAACAGGUUUUAGUAACAGAUUCUGUGGUCUUCCUGUGAAGUAAUUUAUUUCUUACAUUAGCUUGGUAACCGUCAGAUCGACUUCAUAUACCACAGUAAUUUUACACAGUUUGCUACAAAGGUAGAGGGAAGACUGCUGAAUCCUCUGGUGGGGUCUGUGGAUCUUUUUUUCAUCUCCCCUUUCCAUAUCCUUUAAUUUUUAAAUUUUUCUUUGUGAGUAUUUUGCCUACAGAUAUAGGUACCUUGUGCACACCUGGUACCUAUGAGACCAGAAGACCGUUUAGAUUCCCAGGUACUGGAGUUAUCAGUGGUUCUGAGCAGUCAUGUGGGUGCUCAGAACCAAACCUCAAUCAUCCGCAUGGGUGAAAUAUAGUCUUAACUCCCGAGCCAUCUCUCCACUCCCAUUCCCCACAGUAUGCCCAGUCUUACGGGCCUCAAGCUGGCCUCCAGGUCUAUGGAGAGGUCUUCUGAUCUUCUCACCUCUGUCCCCAAGGGCUAGGAUUACAAGCAGGUGCCCCUCCCUCAGUUUAUGAAGUGUUGGAUUGGGCUAAAGGCUUCUCAUAAGUAAGGCAAGCACUCUCGACCAAUUACGUUCCUCCCUCUUUUUUAUGUUAAUGCUUAAGUUAUGUAAGACUUGAUCAUUCGUGAGCCAUCAUAGCUGCUGUCCACACCCCUGUGGUAGAUUGGUUGUGUUUCUUGUGCAUGUCCUCAUGAUAGCAAAUAUAUGUUCAACAGGGAGAUGUUCAACAGGGAGAGCUUUCUUUGAGUUUAACCACUGAUGGGAACCGAAUCCUCUGCUUAUAGAUUUAUACAUAUAAAUUUAGACACUUGCUAAUUGGAAGAUUUGUUUUGUUUUACAGGCUGACUCUUGACUUAGUAUUCUUCAAAUAUUCUUUCUUCUCCCUUUUCUGGACACAAUUUCUGGUGCCGGUUUGGCAGGAGGCCUUUUCAUUGUGAAAUGACCCUUGACCCGGCAGGAUGAGUUGGAAACAUCUCUGAAUAUUCCUGCUCUGGAACAGUCAUUAAUCAUUGUCCUUGAAAAUGAUAUCAAAACCAAUAGAUAAAAGGCGCAGAACCAAAACAUAAUGUCACCCUUGGGUCAGUUUGUGCUGCCAGGUUUGGAGGAUGCCAGUGCCUGCUGCACUGCCCCUCAGUGUAAGGGACUGCUGGGUAAAGGAGAUCUGAAGAGGAUGGUGAGUGCCGACAGCAGUCACAGUGGGAGCACAUCGAGAUCUCAUCUUCACAAAUUCUAUAAAAGCAUAUGGCCACUGAAUACAGUUUGAGAUCUGGGUAACAUCCUGGAAAAGGCUUUGAGCAAAUGAGGAGCUCCGAAGCUGAAUUGUUACCCAGCCCUUGAUGCAUGUCUGUGGCCAGCAAUUGAACUCUCAAGAGUUCAUCCUAAGAACUGUGCAGUGAAGCCAGCGCUAGAAGCGCCCAAGUGCUUGCUGUCUGCUGAACCCUGCUAAGACUUCAUUUUGAUAUUUUUAAUGAGCAUUCUGAUUGCUUUUGUAAUAAAUGGUCUUUCUACUUUUUAAAACGGUACAGAGAGUGGUCUCGGUACAUGCCUGUAACCCCAGCACUUGUUGACCGUUAGAAGGAUUAACCAUGAACCAGCUUGGGCUACAUUGUAAGAUUCUAUCUCUCAACAAAACAAAAACCCCAAAUGUUGAAGAGCGAUGUUGUAUUUAUAUACGUCUUCAAGUUUAGACAAGUCAGGAAGGUCAUUUUUCCUUAUCUUCUCAGUUCUCUUCUUAUUCUGCGUAUGUUCACUAAAUGUAUGCACUGACUUUACUUAGCGAUUGCUAUGUAGCAAUCAGAGUGUUUGAAUCCCUCUGCUCACAAACCUCAUAUUCUUGGUGCAAGACAGACCAAACAAGUCAAAAACUAAGGGAAGUGAAGUCUACAACAUUUUACAUAGUUAUAAGCAUUCAGGGAAACAGUGGGUGAACUUACCAUUCUGAGCUUGGAAGCUUUUACUCAUGGGUCUUCCUGGGUGAAGGGACAUCGACCUGAAGGAAUUACUCUGUGGCAGGGUAGCGAUGGGAGCUGGCCUUUUCAUGAGCUUGAAACCAGUUGAGCUUCGUUAGGAUGUUGAGAGUUACGUCAACAUGACCUGACUUUUAUUUUAAAACUAUCAUCCCUCUGGCUGUUGGGUUGAAAACACUAGGAGCGAGAUUGGAACAGGGAGUUGGGCUAACAGGUAUCCUCACUCUUGAUGCUGGGGAAUAGGGAUGCGGAUCGUGCAGGUAGGUGUUGAAAAGGUACAGGCUCUAUGUCGUCUCUAAUAGUCACGUAGAUAACCGGCUGUCUAGCUUAGUUAUCGGGAGCUAAUUCUCACCAGACCGGCCUCAGGUUCUGCUGCUCACGCUAGGGAAUGCUGACUUAGAGGAAUUUUUGUUCAUGUGGUACAGUGGCUUCUUUCUUUAGAACUGGGAAACUCAAAUGUUUUGAAGUUUUUCCAGGAAGACUGAGUUGCAAGGAGGUAGGUUGAAAAGUUGCAUACUUUGAUCCUUUGCUUUCUUGUUAAUUGUUGUAUGAAGUACCUUUGUACCUUUGGGUAAUUCUGUCAAGAUGGAGUAUUGUUUCUUGAGAAAAUAUGUGUGUGUGUGUGUGUGUGUGUGUGUGUGUGUGUGUGUGUGUAGUAGGCAGGCAUAGCUGUGAAAAUCUAAUGUUGAAAAAAGAGAAAUAAAUGGAUAGACUAGGAAUAGAUUAAAGUGCUAUAAAACCCUGGAAUUUAGAAAACUCAAGCACUGAAUAUUCAGUAUGCCUAGGGGUCUUCUCUUGCAAUUUUAAUGCUUGAAUUACAUUAAGAUGUAUUAGGAGAAGCCACAACUACCAAACGGCUUUUACUUGAUGUGUGUACUCUUGGAAAAGGCAAUGUAGUACCUGCAAAUUCACUUUCAUGUAGGGUUAUACCUGGCCCCUUGUUGACGGCACUAGAAUAAAUUGCCAUUUAAGGUAACAGAAUUAUCCUUCCUGGAGUUCUUUAAAGAUCGGAUGAAAUGGCACUGGCUGUGCUGAGAUGUCUUGAUUUAGGUCAGUGGAGGUCACGUUACUUGACAGCACACAUCCUUUGAUUUAGUAAGAUGAAUUCCUUCAGUGUUUUCUAAAAUAUAUAUCCUUCUCCGUAGAGGCAGCUUGGUGUGAACCAGGGGAAUUAGAAAUGGCUUGAACAGAAGGAAAAUAUUUUGAGGGGUAUUUUCUUCCUUCUCUUCCUCCGUUUCCUUCUGUCCCUCCUCCUUAUCUUCCUCGUCUUCCUCCUUUUCCUUUUCUUCCUCCUCUUCCUAUUUCUACUUCUCUUCCUCUUCCCUCUCUUCCUUCUCUUCCUCCUCCUCCUCUUCCUCUUCUUUUUUCCCUUUCCUUUGAGUUGUCAUGUCAAAGGAGAAAAAAUAUCUAAGGGGAAUAAAAAAAUUACCUUAAAUCUACCCCAAAUAAUGUACACAGUAUAUUUUUAUUUACCUUUGAUGUAAGGAAUGUUUUGUGCAGGCAUAUAUAGCUAUACACAUAUAGAAAGACCUUUUUUUUUUUUUUGGUUCUUUUUUUCAGAGCUGGGGACCGAACCCAGGGCCUUGUGCUUCCUAGGUAAGCGCUCUACCACUGAGCUAAAUCCCCAGCCCCUAGAAAGACCUUUUUAAGGGUGGUUCGACUGGAAAGAACAUAACCACGAGCUGCACAGGUCAAGCUAAAUUAAUUUACUGUGUCAGAGGAAAAGAAUGCUUGCCGUGUCUUGGAAAGAAACUGAGGCAAUUCUUUUGUAAAAAAUGUAUAGGCGGUUUUGAAGAAACCCGCGGAGGCUUGCAGCGGUCAGACCGUCUUUCAUCUCGGCCUUUUAUUUGUUACAUGAUAUUUCAGAGUUCACUUUAAUACUGCCAUUGUGCCUCAUUUUCUUUCAUCUUCCCUUCCCACCCCAGCCUCCAUUUAGGGGGUGUCGGGACUUCCUUUGAGAAUCUGAAUGAAGCUCUGAAAGCCUUCCUCUCAAAACUAUGCAUGCAUGUACAGAAAAUCUGCAUGAAAGUUCAGGGGUCUCGUGGUCCCAGGGACCUGAGCUGAAUGUGAGUGAAUGAGGACGCGUCAGUAACGAUGCGUGGCUACAACAGCUGUCAUGGGAACAACAUUGAGAGUGGGAGCCCGUUAUCCCCAGCUACAAAGUAGAAAAGAGACAGCUCGAAGGACAGGCUGGGAUCCUCUGUGUGGAAAGAGUAAGUUUGCUUCAUGUUGCCCUGCGCUGCAGCCACUGACCACACGCUGUUAUGUAGUUAAAAUUAAAGAAUUCUGUUCUCUAUGGACAGGAAGGAUUUUUCAAGUGGUGAAUGACUGAGUGUGUUCCUGGCUUCUGAAUUCGACAGCAAAAAUAUAGACUAUGUCAUCCUUGUAGAGAGGUUUUUUUUGGGGGGGGGACGGGGUGGGGGGGCAGGGCUACUCUAAAAUUGGGGAUUUUAAAUGGUGGCAAGGCAGAUUUUAGCUGUGUCCAGAAGCGCUCCAUCACGUGUAGCCACCCAGCGCCUGUUGGGCUGAACUGGCUCCCUCAGCACACAAAGCUCUCUAUCCUUCGGAGGCCUCACACAGAGAUGAUUCCUACCUACUCCAUGCGAUGUAGAAGACUCUGCAGAGAGCUGCAGGGCAUUUAUAUGGGAGGAUGGGUGUGAAAUUCAAUAUUUCUCUGACUGACAAUGAAGACGGAGGCGGUCUGGGACACACACUUUCCUCCCCAGCCCCACAAAUGGUCCGUGGAAAGGGCUCUAUGUCCUUACAAAUCCCAGUUCUGUAGUCUUGCCCCUGCCUAAUGUUUUCACAGCUCCUAAUGUUUUCUAGGGGCUCCUAGACGUUCUCGUUAAACAGCAUUUCUGCUUGUGCUUUAACCUGCUGUCUUAGUUAUGGUUCUAUUGCUGUUAAGAGACACUAUGACCAAGGUAACUCUUAUGAAAGAGAACAUUUAAUCAGACGCUUGCUUAUAGACCAUUACUGCCACAGUGAGGAGCAGGGUAUCCCCCAAUCAUAAUGCUAUUUUUGUUGGUACUUCAUAACUGUAAGAUUGCUACUAUUAUAAAUCAUAAUAUAAAUAUCUGAUAUGCAGGCUGGUCUUAUAUUCAUUGUAAUGUAAAUAUCUGAGAAUUCCCGAGGGGCCAUGACCUAUAGGUUGAGAAACAUUGCUUUAAUGUCAUUCCAUUUUGCCUUGUCUCUCAGAAGCUUCUUAAAGGCCAAGAUUAAUGUUUCUGUGUUUAUAUCUCGUGUCUGUCUUUCUCAUAGAACAUAAAAUCCUGUUCUAUGAGACAGAGACCACAGGUGCCUUCCUCAUCACUGCAUCCCUACUGUGCAGAAUAUGUUCUCCCAGCCAAUGGGUGCGUAGUACUUAUUGAAUAAGUGAAUGAAGUUUUUUCUCCCCAAGUGCUUAGUGGUAUGGUGAGCUGAUAAUCAGUUCUUUAUAUUGCAUUUACAGUCCUAGAAAAAUAAGCAUAAAAACAUAAACAGGAAGGAAGAAUGCUGGCUUAGUGGGAAAAAGUGCUUGCUACUGAGAUUGAAACAGGGGUUGGACUCCUUGGCCCCACAUAUUGGAAGAAGAGAUCUACACAGAGUAAGUGAAUAUGUAAAUAAAUAAGUAGACAUCACUAAUCAUUGAAAUAUAACAACUGUGUAAGGUCCUCACCAUAUAAUGAACUUAGAAGCCACCGCUUCUGUCCUUGUAAUAAGAAAAGUUGAAUAAGCUGAAAGAAGUGAUAUUCAUGGGCUUGCCAGCAAUCUUGGAGCAGUACCUCCUCCCCCAGUAAAUCUUGGGGAGAAGGUGAGUUUAGACAGUGGCAAGAUUUACUUCUGUGCAGCAGAAAUAGUGAGAAUAAGAACCCGGAGGAGCUGCUUGUGGGAGCUGUGUGCAUUAGAGUGAGACAAUGUUGGGCUCAGCGGACAAGGAAGGGCUCUCACUGGACCCAACCUCCAGGAACAGGAGAUUUUCAUAAAAGAAAAAAUAAACAAACAAACAAACAAAGAUCCUGCUGGCUCACAAAGGAGAAAAGAAUACCUACUGUUGAAUCUUCCCUAGUAGGCAUUGCAACAAGGGUCUCCUCCAAAGGCAAAAGCUUUCCCAGAAUCCCAUUCUUCUUGAAGAAAACAAAUUUCUCUACUCAAGCCCUGAAGAUUUACUUUGUUAUCCAACAGGGGAGAUGCACCAUUCUUUCUAGUCACCAUGACAGGGCUCCUGUGUGAAAAUGAGGGUUACAGUUGAGUUACAGGGUGCAGAAACUAUACCGGGAUGAGUCCUCAAGAAAGCAUGGGAGAGAAGACCCGAGUACUAGAGGAGCGUGGGAGCUCUGACGUUUCCAUCUAUAGCAAACAUUAAACAGCUUGAUGCUAGCCAGAUCAUCACAAACCCUCACGCCCUAGAGCAUCUACCUUGGUCCCGUUAUCCAACUCAUCAUCUAGGACUCUUACAGAAGGAGUAACUAGUUAUAUUAGAAGGCAAGGGAAAACACCAAGAAAAGGCAAACAGACGAAGCAUCCGAACCAGAAUCAGGUCUCACACAGAACUUGGAAUUCUUCAAAAGAUGACUUUACACCACUGUGAUUCGUUGUGAAGGGCUCUAAUAGCAAAAUCAGACAAUAUGCAUGAACAGAUGGGAGAAGUAAGAAAAGACAGAAACAUCCAAGAAAAAAAAUUAAAAGAAACGCUAGGGGUCAGGUGUAUGCAGCCAGACAAGCCCUGCUGGGGCUCUCCCUGCUGAGGGAAUGGAUUGGCUAAGCAAGAGCUCACCGAGCUUAGCUAUGGAAGUUAGGAACCCUGGCCUAAAGUCCAAAGAUCCAUAGUUACAGUGGGAAUAUUCAAAGCAAACGUACAACGACUGUGAUGAAGUAUCAAAAGGUAAAAUGCACGUAUAAUUAAAUGUCAUAAGGAAAAACAGAUGAAAAAAUUCCCCAAAUGUCAGACCUAGGAAAUUCAGAAAACACCAAGAGAGGUAUAAAGGACUAACCAGCCUCCAUAGAUAAGUAAUAUCCAUGUUCCAGGAAAUGGAGAGGAAGUUCUGAAAGAAGCUGUGAAUUGGUCUAACCUGUUGUGAAUUGGUCUAACCUGUACAAGAAUAAGGAUGAGAAUUACAGUGGGCAACUCACAAGAGCCCAUGCGGGUGGGAUGUGGUAUUUAAAGAGUGAAGAGAAAUACAACACCAACCUUCCCAUCCGUGUCCAGGGAAGCCAUUCUUUAGAAGUAAAGGACUAGCAAACACUUGUUUAGAUGAACAAAACCGAAUGUUGCUUCUUUUUGCCAUCACGUUCGCCCUUUCCAAAAUGAUGAACUAAGUUUCUCAAAGGAAAGGAAAAGGAUUGAGUAAACCCAGAGACUCAGGUCUACGUGAACAAGUAAAUGUGUAGGAAGAAGUAAAUACAAGGAAAGUAAAAUCCUUUGUUUUUCUCAUGAUGUACUUAAUAAAUCGGCUCAAAGACAUGAUGUUGAGGAUGUAUGUGAUGGCUACAAUAGGUGAGUCAUAAAAUAAACGAUGAUAUCAUAAGAAGUAGGGGAGAGAAUUGUGCAAUCCUCUGCUGUAUGAUUCUUAAACCACAUGUUGACAGAAAUUCUGUUUUCUGAAGCUGAACUUGGAUCCAUUUAAAAUGCACAUCGCAAAUUCUUGUAGAACUAAGAAGUGUGCUUGUGGUUGGUUUGUGCAAAGAUCCCAUGAGACGUCUGCUGUGUGGUUCGAACUUCUCACAGUAAAGGGAGCACAUGGCAGGGCCACACAAAUAAUACAGUGACAUUGCCAGCUUGUUAGAUAUUAAUCCAGUUCUGAAAUGAUGACCCCAAAUGUGAUUGAUUUUACUAUCCCAGUUAACUAACUAAAACACAGCAUUGGGCUGAAUGAAAAAUGAUCCAACUCAGUAAAUCCUCGUGUUUUAAUUAAAAGAGCAGGAAAGGACGUGUGCUGUAUCAGCAUGGUUGGCUUUACAAAAGCAAAACUCACCACUGUAAUUUUAGCCAAAGUAAGAUUUCACCCCCAGAGAAAUUAUCAAGGACACAGAGAGACAUUCAGAAAUGAAUUAGUUCUUCAAGGAGGAAUAGCAGUAUGAAUACCCCCAAACACAACACCAGAUCCUUUGUGGUAAAAACUGUUGGCCCUGCAAAGAAAAACGAGCAGACCUACCGUAGCGGCUUCAGAUGUCAACACCUCUCCUCCAGUAAGGAGCAGAUCAAUUGAGCAGAAAAUCAGAAGCACACAGUAGAACUAGACAGCACUCUCAGUGAGCUCCGUCCCGCCAACAGCUGUAGAGAACACCAUUCAACAACAGCUGAGUCUGCUUUCCUCAAGCCGUGUAUGCACAUUGGCCAAGAGUGACCGAACUAAUUCAUAAGACAUUCUUUGUCAAAUUUAAAAGACUGAUACCACAUGAAUACAUACACAGAUGGCAACGAGCUUAAAAUAGAAGUUAGAAAGACAUUUGGAAAACUCUCAAAUAUGUGACUUAAUGAACAGCACUCGUGGCAGUAAAAAAAAAAAGGAUCGGAGAAGUCAGAAGAUCAAUUAAUAAUUUUGAAUUAAAAUAAAAAUUUGAACUAACAUAAAAUUGUGGAAUACAGGCAUAACAGCACCGAGAGAACAACUACGUAUUUGAAAGAUAAAAAUAAUAAAGGAAUAAAGGUUUUUUUUUGAUAUGCCACUGGGGAACAUCCACCCAAGUACAGGUUCUCAGAGAUGAGGCUCCAUCUCUCGCCUCUAAAUCACUGAUAUAGCUUCUUCACCCGCAAGCAUGAGAAUUGUGACUCCCCAUUCCCUAACAUAGGCUGCAUGCAAUGUCUUCAUUCUAAAUGGUAUAGUGUAGAGAAGAAGUGACUUUACCAUAGUUACUCAAAGGAGCUACGGACAUACCCAGGUCAGGUGAUGAAGGCUGACGUCAGUGACAGACAGUGUGACAUCAUGCACAAAUGUGAUUGAUAAGCAGAGCUCAUUGCUUCCAUGAUCUUGCUGCCCCAGACAUGCAGUCUCUGUUUAACCAUGCCAAGCAAUGCCAACCUCUCCUCCUUGUCUUCUACGAUGAUUCCUGAGCUUUGCCAAGAGGCUCUGUGACGUAAAUAUUCCAUCUAGAGCCGAGAACUCCGAAGAAGCCUUUUGUUCUUUGCACUUUGAGCAGUCCGUAAGGCUCGGUGUGAAUUGCUAUCUACGACAGAACUCGGCUUCUCUGAUGAGCUUUGAGAGACGUAAUGUUCCGUGAGUAUAGUACAUCAUUAGGAGACAAGGUUUCUACUCUGUCCACUUACCAAAGUAAUGGUGGUAGCUUCUCCCAUAGGGUGUGAGGCCUGUGUAGCAAAAAUAAUAUAAAGUAAAAUAAAAUAAUUGAUAAUUUCUAGCUACUGUGUGAGGAAGAGUUACUUCUUUUAAGGGUGUGGUAUCUACUACAUUGAACACAUUGCCAUGGCUGGCUCCAUACCUCUGAGUAUACAGACACCACAGUUGGACUCAAUAGGUUUAGAAAAAAAAGUGAGAUACAAAGUUAUUUGAGUACAGAGGGGAUGUGGAUCUGAGAGAAUUUGGUGGUGAGUAUGACCAAAAUACAAUGCAUGGAAUUCUCAAAGAAUAGUUUUUGUUUUUAAAUUAAAAUCCAAACCAACCAGCCAACCAAACAUACAUAAAACCUAAAGCAAUAUCAAAUGUGAGUGGCGUUCUGCAAUGCUCAGUUCUCCCCAGAAAUCUCAGGAUCAUCAGUCAGAGCACUCGACGAAAUAGUUAAAAAUAGACACGAGGAACCUGAGAAGCAGGACAAACAACCCAGUGGGGCCGGGAGCCAGAGCAUGGAAGACUAUCAGAGAUUAUGCGGACAGUCUGACUAAGGUUUAGGCUGCAGAAACAGCUCGGUCCAUACAGUACCUGCUGGCCUAGAGUGCCUAGGCAUUAUGCAAGUUCUUGAUCCCAGAACUGCAUAAAACGGAGUGUUUCACAUUCUUACACUCCCAACACUUGGAGGUAGAGGCAGGGGAAUCAGGAGUUCAAGGCCAACAUCAGCUAUUAAUGAGUGUGCGGCUGGUGUGGGCUACCUGAGGCCCUGCCACAGAGACAAAACAACUGAAGCAACAGGAGAAUCGGAGGAAAGGCACAGACAUUAGUUAGUAAGAAUGUAUCGGCAUUAGUCUGUUGUCUUGGAAUCAUAACGAGGGGAAACAGGAUGUAAGGAUUCUUGGAAUUCACUGUAUUAUCUUUGGGAUUUUUUUCCUUCACAUCUGAAACCCCUUUAAAAAUGUACUAACUUUAAUUAUGUUAAGAAUAAUUAAAAUGAAUGCAGGUAUACUUCUAUUUUUUUUUCCAAUUCGUAGUAUUUCCAUGCCAACUGUUUCAGUUUUAAAACUUGUGCUAAGUACAGCUUUCGGUGUUUGUGACAUCAGGCUUGUUUGCUGCUGGGAUGUAGCAAUUUCUUUUCCCUCAGAAACAUUUGUCACAGCAAAACAUCGAAACUCUAUGCCUUCCGUGUAUUUUCAGUGCCUAGAUUGCCCAUUAUCAUUUUUAUGGUGCUCUUUAAGGAUGAAACAUGCAGAGCCGUAAAUGGGAAGUGAAACCGGGCCAUCCCUCCCAUGCUCUCUUCAUUCUGUCAUUAUGUAUGAACAACCCGUGUGAAGAAGACAUCGCCUUGAAACCAGACGGGCAGGAUCGGCAGGGCUGCAAUGGUGUCAUCCAAACUCUUGGGAGUUCUGUUAUUCAGACGUCUUCCUGGUUCAUUCGUGCAUUAGGAGAACUAGCUGCUUUCUCCUCCUGACAGAAGAGCCUGUUGUCAUGACAGCUGUGAGGCUGUGUGAAGACACUGUGUAAGGGCGCCCUGAACUAGAAAGGAAAGAGCACUUAGGUCUCGCUGAUGGUGCACGGAAGUGUGUGAUGUCUCAGAAUGCACCUUGAGAAUCUGUUAGCCUCAUUGUGCACAUGCCAAUGUAUACAUUCCCAUGGUUUGAAUAGAAGAGUCCAUCGUGAUUGACAUCUUGGUCUGCACCGUGGCAUUAUUGGAGGGGAGCAUAUAGGCGCUUGGGACAUCUGAGACGUGGGGAGACUGUAGGUCUUUGGGGUGUGAAGUAUUUACUCUGUAACACUUUGAUAGUUUUUCUGAUGCUUGUUGUGACCAAGAAUGGCCUUAUCAUUUCCUUUUUCUGCUUUUAUCUCUUGUUUGUUCUCCCUUGCCUCUCCCACCCCUCAACUCCAUUCUCACUCGAUAUAGUGACAAAGGUUACUACUGGUGCUUGAGGCCAACAGACUGAACCUUCAGAAACCUUUAGCUGAAUAAAGGUUUGUUCCUUUUUAUGUAGACUCUGUCAGGGAUCUCAUUGUAGGGCUACAAAGUUCACAACACACACACACACACACACACACACACACGUGCAUAGAGACACAGAGAGUUCAUCUUUCCACAUGCUAAGCAACGUACAGGAAAAAAAUUCAACACCAAAUCAAACACCUAUACAUAUUAUCUCUUUGGAUUGCAGACCAAAGAUUUAUCACAUUGAAGAUUUACCAAAUUUAUGGGAAAUUCUAAUAGGGGAAGGUUUUCCCAAUCAGAAGGGAUUUUUGUCAUUUGCUACCACAUCCCCUUGAGACAGGGUUUCCCACUGAGACUGGGGAUCACUGACUUUUAGCUUGACUGACCAGGCAGCAAACCUAGAGAUUAAUCUGUCUCCACAACCCUCCCUUGUAGCACUGGGGUUAUAGGUGGAACACAUCUGGCCACAUCAGGCUUUUACCCUGGAGUCGAGGAUCCCAACUCAGGCUCUCAGGCUUGUGCAGGAAAAUGUUCUUAUCCAUCAAUCCAUCCCCCAGACCCUAUUAUUUUUGUCUCAAUAUAUUCAAGGAGAAUAACUUACUGAAAGGUACUUACUGACUCUCUCUGUCAGUCCCCAGUAGGCUGCCCAUCCUCCAGGGGAUGGCCCUCUAUCAAAAGCACACACUGAUAGCACUAAGUAUAUUGAGUGGGUUUCAAAAAGAAGACGUGGAUUGUUGGGGGGAGGGCAGCAAUGAGGGGAGGGUGGGGAGGGGAACACCCAUAAAGAAGGGGAGGGGGAGGGAUUAGGGGGAUGUUUGCCCAGAAACCGGGGAAGGGAAUAACAUUCGAAAUGUAAAUAAGAAAUACUCAAGUUAAUAAAAAAAAUAAUAAAAUAUAAAAAAAAUGUAACCCCCCCCCAAAAAAAGACGUGAAGUCAAGAGGAAGAAGUGAUGGCAGAAAGUUAGAAAGAAGAGAGUUAGGAAUGCAUUUAAUCAAAAAACAUUGCAUUCAUCUAAGGGAUAACCAACCAUAAAGUUCUUAAAAAGAAAAUUCCAGUUCAGACAGCAAAGAACUCCGAGAAACUCAUAAAGCAAAGAUGGUAUGGACGUGGUUAGGACUGAAAGCAAAGACUGGCCAUCUGCUGUUUGUUAUGCUAUAGCUGCACCUUUAAAAUUUAUAUAUUAAAACCCUAACGGUGUGUCUGUACUUGCAAAAGGGAGCCUUUGAAAAGGUGCUCAUGCUAAUAUGAAACUAUUUGGGUCAUUCCUCAAUCGAAUUUGACUGGUACUCUUAUUUGGGGAGGAACUAUGUACGUACAGAGACCCACAGCGAUUCACAUGCAGAGAAGGUAAUCUUGGCAGGAGAAGGAGCAGGGAGCCUUUCCAACCCAAGGAGAGAAACCAGAGAGGCUGGUGUGAAGCCUGUGGAACCCGGUGACAAGGUUUCUGUUAAAAACUGUGAGGCUCCCCAGGCGGUGACUCAUGCCUUCAAUCCCAGCAGUAGGGAGGCAGAGGCAGGAGGAGUUCUGAGUUUGAAGCCAGCCUGGUCUACAGAGUGAUUUCUUACCUAGCCAGGGCUUCCUAGAGAAACACAGUCUUGAAAAACAAACAAACAAACAAACAAAGAAGGUGAAGCUCACGGUGUUCUGUUUUGGGAGCUCUACCACACAGAUGUUGGACUAUGACACUAUCAGAGCCCGUGGUUCUGUGCUCUGUGAGAACGUGUUACUAGAGAGGAACACAUGAAUCAUUGUGCUCUGACAGUUUAGUGCUGCAAAUACUGCCAUGGGAGAUGUUCACAUGGCUUGGGGAGUCUGAUGAUGGAUUGCGAAACUGGAACAGGGGUGAAGCGGGAAGUCUUGCUGGAGGUGGAGUGGAGUUAGGCUGAGAAAGGGCAGUUGGAACAGAAUGUUAAGUAGCAGGGAGCACACAGGUAGAGAUGUGGCUGUCGGGCAGUGCUGUGCUAUGUUUGGGAAAUUAAAAGUAGUUGUUUAGAGUGGGAAUGAGUGCUGGAGCGUUAAGAGUACUCAUUAGCAUAGUAUGAUAUUGUCUCCAUCUGAUACAGGGCAUCUGCACACAUGACAUAACACACACACACACACACACACACACACACACACACACACGGGCGGGGGGGGAGAGAGAGAGAGAGAGAGAGAGAGAGAGAGAGAGAGAGAGAGAGAGAGAGAAGAAA
Molecule: non-coding RNA, 59258 nt
Organism: Rattus norvegicus (Norway rat)
Lineage: Eukaryota; Metazoa; Chordata; Mammalia; Rodentia; Muridae
Source: RefSeq, a predicted model, not a curated record